RNAcentral lists this long non-coding RNA (72121 nucleotides) under Triticum aestivum (bread wheat). RNAcentral describes it as "long non-coding RNA (TAES_LNC011652)". The stretch from base 67138 to 67272 matches the Rfam family "MIR1120/MIR1122 microRNA precursor family". The record is from RNAcentral. Lineage: Eukaryota; Viridiplantae; Streptophyta; Magnoliopsida; Poales; Poaceae.
GCCUUUUUAGGCGCAGUAUAACUUUAAGCAUAGAAAAUUGGAAAACAGAUAUUUAACCCAUAUAUAUUGUUGAGAAUUUUUCAUAAUUUAGAUGUCAAAGAAAGAUGUACACAGGAAUACAAUUUUGUUGUCAAAGUAGCAUGCCAAACGUACAUUUUCAUUACAUCAUACAUAAAAACAGCAAUAAAAAGUUAAAAAUAUGCCAUAUGGCUCAGAUCACAUAACACAGGACAUCCAGGUUCAAAUGAUCCCAGCAACGAAAAAACAUCACCAGCACAGCAUACUAUUUGCACAUUCAAAGAGAACAAACUAUAUGUCAAAAGAGAACAAGGCAGAAAAUAGCCACUAAAAUAAAGGAGAUAGUAUACUCGGUAAUUAGUACAGAUUUGCUCACUGGACACACACACAUUUGGCAUAUACUUUUGAAAAGAAGUGCAGAUUCAAGUAAACUGUAGAGUUAUAUCAAGACUAAGAUACCUGUUGGUAAACAACAACAGGAAAACUCAGAUAGAAACUAAUAAACCUAGAUAGAAAGUAACAAACUUGUACCCUUGAUACAGACCAGUAAUUAACCCAAAUAAUCAGUACAUUCUAACAUGUUAAGUGGCUACCAUUCCAAUCAUAAUUGUACCAUGCCAUAGGAAAAAAAUCUGUGACAUGACUGCUACAAAUUAAACUGAUGCUCUUCUACUACUAGACCAUUCAAGCUCAUGGUCAGGAUCAACAAUACUAAUAACCUGUAGGUACAAUGGUACAGUAGCAAGCAAAUAGUGCAAUAAUCCCACCACAACGCAUGAAGAAAAACACUAUCGUACUGCCACUAUCAUCCCUUCAACUGACAACAUCUAUUUCAUGGAGGGAGGGAAGGGACUACAUAGGCUAGUACUAGUUAAUGAUGGCGUCGACGAUGAUAUGUAUGAGGUUGGCGUCGGUGAGCAGGGAUCCACCUCCCGUCAGUUCCAUCCAUGUUCCGGUGAGGCAUUUUCCUCAUAACCAGGUUGUAUCACCAUGAAAACAGAACAGAGUCAGCGAACAGUAAGAACCUCCUCACGAUCGACCAGAAGAAGAACAAGAUAAAUCUGGUCAAAUGCAUGACUUUUGACUUUUGUUCACCUUACAUACUAGAACAAGAACAGUAAGAACCAGAACCUAAUUGUAUAAACACACACAAAAUAAACCUUUACCUCUUGACUCUAGAGAUUAUCAAACUUCUACUCUGCAGUUGUCGUUCUAUCCACCUCUGCAUGCAUCCAUUCCUCCAGCUCUAAGCAACUUCCAAGACACAGUAGCCGCUGGAACAUGCACACAAACAAACACAACAAACAAAUUAAUCGAGAUUUUGCAUAAGCCAGAGUCAAGCACAAGUUAUUCAAGGGCAAACGGUGUGAAGAGCUUGAUGAUUAUAUUUGACAUAGGCAGUUACACGGGAGAGUCAGUCACAUGUACAAAUUUUAGCUUUUUCUACCCUUGGCGCAGUGGUAAAGCUGCUGCCUUGUGACCAUGAGGUCACGGGUUCAAGUCCUGGAAACAGCCUCUUACAGAAAUGUAGGGAAAGGCUGCGUACAAUAGACCCAAAGUGGUCGGACCCUUCCCCAGACCCUGCGCAAGCGGANNNNNNNNNNNNNNNNNNNNNNNNNNNNNNNNNNNNNNNNNNNNNNNNNNNNNNNNNNNNNNNNNNNNNNNNNNNNNNNNNNNNNNNNNNNNNNNNNNNNNNNNNNNNNNNNNNNNNNNNNNNNNNNNNNNNNNNNNNNNNNNNNNNNNNNNNNNNNNNNNNNNNNNNNNNNNNNNNNNNNNNNNNNNNNNNNNNNNNNNNNNNNNNNNNNNNNNNNNNNNNNNNNNNNNNNNNNNNNNNNNNNNNNNNNNNNNNNNNNNNNNNNNNNNNNNNNNNNNNNNNNNNNNNNNNNNNNNNGAACAAAAAAGAGAACAUAGCGCCGCGACUUGUUGAGGACAGAAAUAGUAACGUUUGAUACAUAAAUUAGUAAUGUGAGGCUCAGUAAGGUCCUAUCUUAGUGCUAUGGGGAUUAAGAGCAUGCACACAAAAAGCUAAUUGGCAGACAAAACUUACUGGUCAUAGUUCCCAACACAGAUCAAACUGGCAAAUAAUAAUGUUUGUUAAAGCAAUUAACAGGGCAGUAGCUCAACCUAAAGAAAGGCAGCAAAACUUAUAUGAAAGAAACUGAGUUGCAAGUGUAUAAAGAGUGAUUGAUGAUCCAUUCCAGAGACAUGGUAGUUUCUUCUAACAUAUUGUAUUAUCAAGUAAACUCUUAAAAGAAAGAUGCCCCAGUAAGUACGCUGAAUGGAAGACAAAGUGAAUAGUGAAACAAGUUGAUAGUUGUACACUAUAGUGUUUACGCACAGUGGAACUGAAUGAAUUUCAGAUUAUGUUGCAUGCAAGAACAGGAGCGGCAGUGCGCUCUAGCUAGUAGUACAUCAGGAUAAGAGCACGUGGAGUGACAACAAGAGCAACAGGGUGUACUGUACUGGAAUCUAGAUCCGCUCGAGUAAAAUAAUAGCAAACCAUAUAGAGCGUCAGUUUAGGCGGUUGCAGACUUGGAGUGCGCUGAGUUUCACUAUUCAGUUGUGAUAGUUUUACACUUUCAGUCAACACUGUAGAGAAAAUGCAGUUCAGCAUGUUCUGAAUAUCUUCACCAAGCUCCGUUUUUUACAGUACUUACAGAGUUUACUGGUUGCAGAGUCAUCUGUGCAUAGACCUCGUCAGUGUCCUUGUCAGCCUGUGCAAAACAAGCAGCAUUCAUUAGGAUUAAUUCAUGGAGUAAGAAGAAAUACAGAGACAGCAUCAUCAUCUGAUGAUGCGGUAACCAAUCAACGGCUUUGUUCGUCCAGAUCACAGGUGGCGUGACAGAAGAAGGGACUACCUCGACAUCCUCGACGGUGGCACGGAGGUCGGGCGAGUCCUUGACGGCCUUGAUGUGGCCUAUGACGUUCAGCCUGUCGAUGAUGCGCUCGAGCAUGUGGACCAAGCGCUCCCACGCAGGCUCCACGCCCUUCUCAAGCUCCUCCAGCUCGCCCUCCUGCAUACAGAGAAACUUCAGAUGAGCUAGACUGAAACUCAACUUGUCAAUUGCCACCUACAUAAAAUAGUCAAGACUAGAGUCUAACUCAAAUCAGGUAUGCAUUCUUUGGACGUUAAAUGCAAGCUUUAUAUAUAUAUAUAUAUAUAUAUAUAUAUAUAUAUAUAUAUAUAUAUAUAUAUGGCUAUAAUGUAUGAUGCGAACCAACCAAAGUUUUCAUCUCCAUUCUGAACAAAUUAGACUGCAAUGGAGUUGCUUAAUACUUAUAGCAUGAUUGGUUUUCCGUUCUGAAACUGUAGACAUGUUGUGCUUGGCUCAUGCUUCAGAUAUGAUUGGUCUACAGAGAUUCAGACUGUGCCAAAAAGGCACAGUAGCAGCUGAUGGAUAUACAAGUACUAAGACAAUACUCCCUUAGUGUCAAAGAAACCCAUCUUAUACUAUUAAGCUACAGAGAUAGUAUGAGAUCAGUACUAACUCAGUUGAGUCGUCGAUAGAUCGGCAGUCCCUUAUUCAACAAAGAAUGCCACGAGAAGCCAUCUAGAAUUGUAAAUAAUAGACAAAUACUAGUUGUGUUAGGAGAAAGAGGUUGCCAUGGAUGGGAGGCGAGGGUACAAACAAGAUCUCGUCCAUAACCCGUGGUCGUUUGUCCACUUAUAGAGUUAAUCUAAAAGCGAUGGUAAGGUAGAACUAUGAGCGGCAGAGCAGAUCUCUGUAUUACACAAAUAGACUAUGAAACACAUAGUCAUGGGCAUCAUACAUCACCCGAGCAAAUCCGAAAUUAAUCUAACAGUGCUAGCGAUAGGUUGCAAUGCAGGGGAAUGGACCGCUGACAUGUACUAGAUAUCUUGAAGGAGAAGAAAUUUCAAACAAUGACAACAACCAAAGUAUCCUUAUAAGUUAGAGCAAGUGCAUUUACAAAGUCAUACGAUUUCAGCCACACAAGUCUCUCAUAAGCUACAAAAAGGCAAUUAAAAGGACAGCAGCCAUGUACAGUGAUAUGCAAUUUAGUCAGCAACAAGAGAACAUAAACAAUGGUAACCCCAGCAUCUUGGACAAAAAAUUUCUAAUGGUCAAACAUUGAAAUUGCAGGUAAUAAUACAAUCCGCACCGUCGGUGGAUGAAGAAUUAUGGCGCCUCAAUACAGUAAACAAUUCGUCGAUAUCUGCUACCAUGCGUGAUGACAUUAUAUCCAGAGGCUAAAUGAUGUAAAUAAUAGAACAGAUUUCUUCAUCCUUAUCCCUCCAAAUACGUAAAUAAAGUUUCCUUCGGGAAAGGAAUUAAGAAAGGUUGUUAGCGUGGCAGAUAACGGAGGACGUUUCCUCUGAAAAGAACAGAGGGCGUGAGAAACAAGAGCUGUCCUCGGAGAGGACUGCAGGAUUGAUCGAACAGGCCAAGAAACGGAACAAGAUGACGCUCAAGAGGAGAAGAGGAAGGGGUUACCUUGGGAGGAUGGGGUUAUCCGGGCGUCAGCUAUCUUCGUCGAGUACAACAGCUCACUCCCCGGCGGCCUCCUUCCCUUCCAUCCCGAUGUCUCUUCUUCCCCCUUCCGGCUAGGCCAUGGAAGCUCCGUGGCGUCGGCAGUGGCCGAGCAGACGAGUGGAUUCGUUAGACGAAAAUGUGGAUGGUCAAGGAAGGAAGGGAGGGAGGAGGGGGCGGACCAGGGUGGGGAAGUAUCGGAUGACGUUGGCCUGGUUCCCGCACCAGAGCGCGGCGGCACACUCCUCGCGGAGGACGCGGGCAAAGGCAUCGGUGAUCCCGCGGUAGGGCUACAUGAGGGCACCCCGGCACAACAUCUCGGCUUGGUUUUGCAGCAGCAUCUUGACGCGCUCCUUCGGCGCCACCCCCAUCUUGGCCACCACCGCCGCCGCGCCGCCCAUGGCGAAGUCUGCCGCCACCCUGGCGGGCGACCUGGCGGAUGUAGGCCGCCCUGUCGAGGAUGUAGUCGUCCCCGUCGUCCCUGUUGAGGAUGGAGCGCUCGGACCCACCAGAUGGAGCGCUCUGACCUACUAGGAUGUAGUCGUCCCUGUCGACGAGGAUGGAGCGCUCGGGCGUGGCGGAUCCGGCCCCAUUCCCGUCGGCGAAGUCGGAUCUCCUGGCGGCGGCCUCGCCGCCAGCCAUCCGCGUUCGUCCCCGCGCCCUUGGGCGGGUCCGAGGAGAGCUCCGGUUCCGAGGGGUUGGCGGGCUUGGGCUGCGCGGACUCCUCCAUGUCCGGCAUCCGGAUGGAUCUGGGAGUGCCUGCUGUCACUGUGAAGUGUGGGGAGAGAGAGAGAGGGGGGUUGCAGGAGAGGAGAGGGGCAAUCCGUCUGGGGCGGGAGGGAAGCGGAUGGGAGAGGGGAGGCCGUCGGCAGCGAGCUGUGGUAGGGAGGAGGCGGUGGGUGGGUGGCGGCGUGAGGAGGGAAGGAGGCAUGGCUCGGGUGCGGCGCGAGGGAAGCUAGGGUUUGGACUAGGGGGGGUGAGACGGACGAGGGGUGAGAGUGUGAGGGGGACGAGGGCUGCCGUCGGAUCGGGCAGUAUCCGACGGUGUUUGAGCAUGAUCCGCGUGAUGUGUGAGAGGCUUAUAGACCAAUCAGAACGCAGUAAACACUUUAAAGUUGUUAUGACCAUUUAAAUUGGUUGUAAUUUAAUAAAAAUAAGGUUUUUGACAAGAAAAGCAUUUUGUAUUUUUCAAGUAACAAUGACUAUUUUUUAAGAUCUACCAAAUAUUUGUUGCAAAAUGACACCACACCAUUUUUAGAAAUCAUUAGGCCAUAUUUUAUGUCUAAUUAACCAAACGGUUUAUUGUCAAAAUAUUUUCGAGUGCCCGAAAAUGGUUUUUUUUUUGAAAGACCUAUCAUAUAUUUAUUGCAAAAUUGUACCAAAUCAAUUUUCUAAAAUACUAGGACAUAUUUAAUGCACAAUUGACCAAAUAGUUGGGUGUAAAAAAUUUUAAUCCACCUCUCGUGAAAAAGACAAAUUUCCGCCGAUUCAGCUGGAAGCGGGUCAAAUUUGAACUAUAGCUACCUCGUAGUUUGCUCUUUAUUUUUCUCAAAAAUUAUUUCUAGGUACAUAAGUAUCUAUUUAAUCAGAGAAACACAAAAAAUUCCAAUAUUCAACCACUAGCUAGGAAUGGUUAUUCCCGCCAUUUUGACCGCAUUUUGAAACGGGCAUAAAAAAUUAAAAAAAACAAAAAAUUGGAAAACCUUUGCAUUGUUUCAUUAUAUGUGGCCAAGUUACCAGCAAAAAUUAUAAACUUGUAAUAUGGCAAUUAUUUUAAAUAAGUCUUCUCAGAAACGAGCUAUCAAAUGUGAAGAUUCAUGGCUUUCAAGCCAAAUGAUCAAUCUUAUGGCCACAUUCAUGACAUAGUUUGUUCAAAUGAUCUCAUAUUGUGCACAAGGGUGCAUCUUGGAAUGGCAGACAAUGUUGUCUAAGGAAGUUUUCAUUUUCUUUGGACGAAAAAUUCAUUUUCCAUUUUUUGAGUGCCCAAAAUGAGUUUUUUUGUGAAGGACCUAUAAUAUAUUUGUUGCAAAAUUGUACCAAUUCAAUUUUCUAAAAUACUAGGACAUAUUUAAUGCACAAUUGACCAAAUGGUUGGGUGUAAAAAGACAAAUUUCCGCCGAUUCAGUUGGAAGCGGGUCAAAUUUGAACUGUAGCUACCUCGAAGUUUGCUCUUUAUUUUUUCCAAAAAUCAUUUCUAUGUACAUUAGUAUUUAUUUAAUCAGAGAAAGGUCUCCAAGAUUCAACAACUAGCUAGGAACGGUCAAGCCCGCCGUUUUGACUGCAUUUUGAAACGGGCAUAAAAAAUUCAAAAAAAAUCAAAAAAUUGGAAAACCUUCGCGUUGUAUCAUCAUAUAUGACCAAGUUUCCAAGAAAAAUAAUAAACUUGUAAUACGGCAAUUAUUUUUAAAACGUGUUCUCAGAAAUGAGCUAUCAUGCAUGAAGAUUCAUAUCUUCCAAGCCAAAUGAUCAAUCUUAUGACCACAUUCAUGGUAUAGUUUGUUCAAAUGAUCUCAUAUUGUGCACAAGGGUGCAUCUUGGAAUUCCAAACAAUGUUGCCUAAGGAAGUUUUCAUUUUGUUUGCAUGGAAAAUUCAUUUUCCAUUUUUCGAGUGCUUGAAACGAGGUUUUUUUGUGAAGGACCUACCAUAUAUUUGUUGCAAAAUUGUACCAAAUCAAUUUUCUAAAAUACUAGGACAUAUUUAAUGCACAAUUGACCAAAUGGUUGGGUGUAAAAAGUUUUGAUCUACCUCUGGUGAAUAAGACAAAUUCACGUCAAUUUAGUAGGAAGCGGGUCAAAUUUAAACUGUAGCUACCUCGUAGUUUGCUCUUUAUUUUUUCCAAAAAUCAUUUCUAGAUACAUAAGUAUCUAUUUAAUCAGAGAAACACCAAAAAAAUUCCAAGAUUCAACAAAUAGCUAGGAACGGUCAUUCCCGCCGUUUUGACCGCAUUUUGAAACGGGCAUCAAAAAUUCAAAAAAAUUAAAAAAUUGGAAAGCCUACGCAUUGUUCCAUCAUAUGUGGCCAAGUUGCUAGAAAAAAUUAUAAACUUGUAAUACGGCAAUUAUUUUUAAAAAGUGUUCUCAGAAAUGAGCUAUCAUGCGUGAAGAUUCAUGGCUUUCAAGCCAAAUGAUCAAUCUUAUGGCCACAUUGAUGGCAUAGUUUGUUCAAAUGAUCUCAUAUUGUGCACAAGGGUGCAUCUGGGAAUUCCAAAUAAUGUUGCCUAAGGAAGUUUUCAUUUUGUUUGCACGGAAAAUUUAUUUUCCAUUUUUCGAGUACCUGAAAUGAGGUUUUUUUGUGAAGGACCUACCAUAUAGUUGUUGCAAAAUUGUACCAAAUCAAUUUUAUAAAAUACUAGGAUAUAUUUAAUGCACAAUUGACCAAAUGGUUGGGUGUAAAAAGUUUUGAUCUACCUCUGGUGAAAAAGACAAAUUCCCGCCGAUUCAGUAGGAUGCGGGUCAAAUUUGAACUGUAGCUACCUCGUAGUUUGCUCUUUAUUUUUUCCAAAAAUAAUUUCUAGGUACAUAAGUAUCUAUUUACUCAGAGAAACACCAUAUUAAUUCCAAGAUUCAACAAAUAGCUAGGAACGGUCAUUCCCGCCAUUUUGACCGCAUUUUGAAACGGGCAUAAAAAAUAAAAAAAAUAAAAAAAUUGGAAAACCUACGCAUUGUUUCAUCAUAUGUGGCCAAGUUGCCAGAAAAAAUUAUAAACUUGUAAUACGACAAUUAUUUUAAAAAAGUGUUCUCAGAAAUGAGCUAUCAUGCGUGCAGAUUCAUGACUUUCAAGCCAAAUGAUCAAUCUUAUGGCCACAUUGAUGGCAUAGUUUGUUCAAAUGAUCUCAUAUUGUGCACAAGGGUGCAUCUUGGAAUUCCAAACAAUGUUGCCUAAGGAAGUUUUCAUUUUGUUUGCACAGAAAAUUCAUUUUCCAUUUUUCGAGUGCCCGAAAUGAGGUUUUUUUGUGAAGGACCUACCAUAUAUUUGUUGCGAAAUUGUACCAAAUCAAUUUUCUAAAAUACUAGGACAUAUUUAAUGCACAAUUGACCAAAUGGUUGGGUGUAAAAAGUUUUGAUCCACCUCUGGUGAAAAAGACAAAUUCUCGUUGAUUCAGGAGGAAGAGGGUCAAAUUUGAACUGCAGGUGCCUCAUAGUUUGCUCUUUAUUUUUUCCAAAAAUCAUUUCUAGGUACAUAAGUAUAUAUUUAAUCAGAUAAACACCAAAAAAAUUUCCAAGAUUCAACCACUAGCUAGGAACGGUCAUUCCCGCCGUUCUGACCACAUUUUGAAACGGGCAUAAAAAUUUGAAAAAUAUCAAAAAAUUGGAAAACCUCCGCAUUGUGUCAUUAUAUGUGACCAAGUUUCCAGAAAAAAAUAAUAAACUUGUAAUACGGUAAUUAUUUUAAAAAAGUGUUAUCAGAAAUGAGCUAUCAUGUGUGAAGAUUCAUGGCUUUCAAGCCAAAUGAUCAAUCUUAUGGCCACAUUCAUGGCAUAGUUUGUUCAAAUGAACUCAUAUCGUGCACAAGGGCGCAUCUUGGAAUAACAAACAAUGUUGCCUAAGGAAGUUUUCAUUUUUUUCGACGAAAAAUUCAUUUUCCAUUUUUUCGAGUGCCCAAAAUGAGUUUUUUUGUGAAGGACCUACAAUAUAUUUGUUGCAAAAUUGGACCUAAUCAAUUUAAAAAAAUACUAGGCCAUAUAUAAUGCACAAUUGACAAAAUGGUUGGGUGUCAAAAGUUUUGAUCCACCUCUCGUGAAAAAGACAAAUUUCCGUCGAUUCAGUUGGAAGCGGGUCAAAUUUGAACUGCAGUUGCCUCAUAGUUUGCUCUUUAUUUUUUCCAAAAAUCAUUUCUAGGUACAUAAGUACCUAUUUAAUUAGAAAUACAUGGUUUGAUGGCGAUACAUCGAGGUUUGGAUGGUGACCGAGGGCCCCAACUGUAGAGUGCGUAAGCUCGCAUGCCCGUCGCGUGGUCACCACGUGACCGUGGUGUUGCCAUGCGUUCUGGGCGGACUAGGAAUGUCUAGUAGGUUGGGCACUCCCCAGGUCGGUGAUAGGAAGAAAAUUAUAACAUAAGAUUCUCAUGAGGAGACCGAACUAUGCUCAAACAUGAAUUAGCAGCCAAGUGUUUGAUUAGCGGUACGGGAAAUGCACAUGGCCAAUGGGAAUGAGUUUUGGCUGAGGAUGAUCAUAUACUAAGAAUAAUGUCUUCACAAAUAUUUAGGGAAAUCAAGAAUAUAUAAAUAACACUUCCUUCACAAAGUGUUGCUCUGAACAGAAUAGGAAAAUGAAUAUUGUUGAACUAUUUUUGAACUAAGCAAGGAAGGUUUUUGACAUAUUUGAUGAAUAUGAUCCAAACAAUUUAUGAGAAUUUUUUGGGAAUUUUUGGAAUAACAGAAAUAUAGGUUGCUUCACAACCUAGGGCAAAAAUUGACACAUGGACAUGACACAUAAGCAAAACUGAUGAGAUGGCGCCUAGUCAUCACAACCCACCACAAUUUACAAGGCUAUGACCAUCUAUAUUGGUCGUUAACAACUAGAAAUAAGGCAGCAGACCAGCGUCGUUUGCUUUAUGGCCAUUUUCUAUAAGGAAAUUAUGACCUUUCUGACCAAAAUGGUCACAAUGGUUUAGGGUUUGGAGCCCCCCGAACAUCUUUUGACCAAUUGGUCUCAAAUGGUCAUAGAUCUAUGACCAAUUCUUCCAGGGUCACUGACAGAAGGUCACUAGUUGACAUAUUUCUUGUAGUGUUUGGCAAAAAAUCAGAGGAGAUCCUCACCUUGUUGGAUGAGCUCAUCCUUCCACAGCACCUCAAGGCCAUGGCCUGGGAGCAGGGGAGGGGUAAUAAGGUGCCUUCUACCGCAGUGUGGCAUCAGCCGUAGUUGUGCAGCGCCCGCCGGAGUAGUGCGUUGGACUAACCACAAUGGAGCAGCUACUGGAGACCAUGAGAAUGAGGGGUGGCGCCAGAGGGACGAGCAGCCAGGGAGAUUUGCCCCUACCUGCCGGCCUUGUAGCCUAGCUGGACAUAGCAUCAUCGAGGACCAGGCCAGAUGGGACCAGUGGCGACGGCUCGCUGGAGGAACCCUAGUGUUGCAGGCAGGGGAUCGAGGUAGAGGGAAAGGGGAGAUGAGAUGCAAGCGGGCAGGGCAAUGAACGCUUGCGUGUUUUUUUUACUUGAGGGUCAAGUGUGACACGGGCGUCAUGUUGGAAAUAUGCCCUAGAGGCAAUAAUAAAAGGAUUAUUAUUAUAUUUCCUUGUUCAUGAUAAUUGUCUUUAUUCAUGCUAUAAUUGUAUUAUCCGGAAAUCGUAAUACACGUGUGAAUACAUAGACCAUAAUAUGUCCCUAGUAAGCCUCUAGUUGACUAGCUCGUUGAUCAACAGAUAGUCAUGAUUUCCUGACUAUGGAAAUUAGAUGUCGUUGAUAACGGGAUCACAUCAUUAGGAGAAUGAUGUGAUGGACAAGACCCAAUCCUAAGCAUAGCACAAGAUCGUGUAGUUUGUUUUGCUAGAGCUUUUCCAAUGUCAAGUAUCUUUUCCUUAGACCAUGAGAUCGUGUAACUCCCGGAUACUGUAGGAGUGCUUUGGGUGUACCAAACGUCACAAUGUAACUGGGUGACUAUAAAGGUGCACUACAGGUAUCUCCGAAAGAGUUUGUUGGGUUGACACGGAUCGAGACUGGGAUUUAUCACUCCGUAUGAGGGAGAGGUAUCUCUGGGCCCACUCGCUAAUGCAUCAUCAUAAUGAGCUCAAAGUGACCAAGUGUCUGGUAACGGGAUCAUGCAUUAUGGUACAAGUAAAGUGACUUGCCGGUAACGAGACUGAACGAGGUAUUGGGAUACCAACGAUCGAGUCUCGGGCAAGUAACGUACUGAUUGACAAAGGGAAUUGUAUAUGGGGUUGAUUGAAUCCUCGACAUCGUGGUUCAUCUGAUGAGAUCAUCGAGGAGCAUGUGGGAGCCAACAUGGGUAUCCAGAUCCCGCUGUUGGUUAUUGACCGGAGAGCCGUCUCGGUCAUGUCUACGUGUCUCCCGAACCCGUAGGGUCUACACACUUAAGGUUCGGUGACGCUAGGGUUGUAGAGAUAUGAGUAUGCAGCAAACUGAAAGUUGUUCGGAGUCCCGGAUGAGAGUUGUUCGGAGUCCCGGAUGAGAUCCUGGACGUCACUAGGAGUUCCGGAAUGGUCCGGAGGUAAAGAAUAAUAUAUAGGAAGUGAAGUUUCGGCCAUCGGGAGAGUUUUGGGGGUCACUGGUAUUGUACCGGGACCACCGGAAGGGUCCCGGGGGUCCACCGGGUGGGGCCACCUAUCCCGGAGGGCCCCGUGGGCUGAAGUGGGGAGGGGACCAGCCCCUGGUUGGCUGGUGCGCCCCCCUGGGCCCCCCUCUGCGCCUAGGGUUGGGAACCCUCGGGGAGGGGGCGCCUCCACUUGCCUUGGGGGGCACUCCACCCCCCUUGGCCGCCACCCCCCUAGAGAUCCCAUCUCUAGGGCCGGCGCCCCCCUGGGGGCCUAUAUAAAGGAGGGGGGAGGGAGGGCAGUCGCACCCUGAAGUCUUGGCGCCUUCCUCUCCCCUGCUACACCUCUCCCUCUCGUAGAAGCUCGGCGAAGCUCUACCGGAACUCUGCUGCAUCCACCACCACGCCGUCGUGCUGCUGGAUCUUCAUCAACCUCUCCUUCCCCCUUGCUGGAUCAAGAAGGAGGAGACGUCAUCCGCGUGUGUUGAACGCGGAGGUGCUGUCCGUUCGGCACUUGGUCAUCGGUGAUUUGGAUCACGACGAGUACGACACCCUCAACCCCGUUCUCUUGAACGCUUCCGCUCGCGAUCUACAAGGGUAUGUAGAUGCACUCCUAUCACUUGUUGCUAGAUGAACUCAUAGAUGGAUCUUGGUGAAAGCGUAGGAAAUUUUUUAUUUUCUGCAACGUUCCCCAACAGUGGCAUCAUGAGCUAGGUCUAUGCGUAGUUCUCUAUUGCACGAGUAGAACACAAAUUUGUUGUGGGCGUAGAUGUUGUCAACUUUCUUGCCGCUACUAGUCUUAUUUUGCUUUAGCAGUAUUGUGGGAUGAAGCAGCCCGGACCGACCUUACACGUACGCUUACGUGACACAGGUUCCACCGACUGACAUGCACCAGUUGCAUAAGGUGGCUAGCGGGUGUCUGCCUCUCCCACUUUAGUUGGAGCGGAUUCGAUGAAAAGGGUUCUUAUGAAGGGUAAAUAGAAGUUGACAAAUCAUGUUGUGGCUUUUUCGUAGGUAAGAAAAAGUUCUUGCUAGAACCCUAUUGCAGCCACGUAAAAGAUGCAACAACAAUUAGAGGACGUCUAACUUGUUUUUGCAGCAAUUGCUUUGUGAUGUGAUAUGGCCAAAAGUUGUGAUGAAUGAUGAAUGAUAUAUUGUGAUGUAUGAGAUCAUGUUCUUGUAAUAGGAAUCACGACUUGCAUGUCGAUGAGUAUGACAACUGGCAGGAGCCAUAGGAGUUGUCUUAAUUAUUGUAUGACCUGCGUGUCAAUGAUUUAACGCCAUGUAAUUACUUUAAUUCAUUGCUAAAACGUUAGCCAUAGUAGUAGAACUAAUAGUUUGCGAGCAACUUCAUGGAGACACGAUGAUGAAGAUCAUGAUGAUGGAGAUCAUGGUGUCAUGCCGGUGACGAAGAUGAUCAUGGAGCCCCGAAGAUGGAGAUCAAAGGAGCUAUAUGAUAUUGGCCAUAUCAUGUCACUACUAUAUAAUUGCAUGUGAUGUUUAUUAUGUUUAUGCAUCUUGUUUAAUUAGAACGACGGUAGUAAAUAAGAUGAUCCCUUAUAAUAAUUUCAAGAAAGUGUUCUCCCCUAACUGUGCGCCGUUGCUAAAGUUCGUCGUUUUGAAGCACCACAUGAUGAUCGGGUGUGAUAGAUUCUUACGUUCACAUACAACGGGUGUAAGACAGUUUUACACAUGCAAAAACACUUAGGGUUAACUUGACGAGCCUAGCAUGUACAGACAUGGCCUCGGAACACAGAGACCGAAAGGUCGAACAUGAGUCGUAUGGAAGAUACGAUCAACAUGGAGAUGUUCACCGAUGAUGACUAGUCCGUAUCACGUGAUGAUCGGACACGGCCUAGUCAACUCGGAUCGUGUAACACUUAGAUGACUAGAGGGAUGUCUAAUCUGAGUGGGAGUUCAUUAGAUAAUUUGAUUAGAUGAAUUUAAUUAUCAUGAACUUAGUCUAAAACCUUUGGAAAUAUGUCUUGUAGAUUGAAUGGCCAACGCUCAUGUCAACAUGAACUUCAACGCGUUCCUAGAGAAGACCAAGCUGAAAGAUGAUGGCAGCAACUAUACGGACUGGGUCCGGAACCUGAGGAUCAUCCUCAUAGCUGCCAAGAAAGCAUAUGUCCUAGAAGGACCGCUAGGUGAAGCACCCAUCCCAGAGAACCAAGACGUUAUGAACGCUUGGCAGUCACGUGCUGAUGAUUACUCCCUCGUUCAGUGCGGCAUGCUUUACAGCCUAGAACCGGGGCUCCAAAAGCGUUUUGAGAAACACGGAGCAUAUGAGAUGUUCGAGGAGCUGAAAAUGGUUUUCCAAGCUCAUGCCCGAGUCGAGAGAUAUGAAGUCUCUGACAAGUUCUAUAUUUGUAAGAUGGAGGAAAAUAGUUCUAUCAGUGAGCACAUACUCAAAAUGUCUGGGUUGCACAACCGCCUGUCCCAGCUGGACAUUAACCUCCCAGACGAGGCGGUCAUUGACAGAAUCCUUCACCCGCUCCCACCAAGCUACAAGAGCUUUGUGAUGAACUACAAUAUGCAGGGGAUGGUGAAAACUAUUCCUGAACUAUUUUCAAUGCUGAAGUCAGCAGAGGUAGAAAUCAAGAAAGAACAUCAAGUGUUGAUGGUCAAUAAAACCACCAUGUUCAAGAAGGGCAAGGGUAAGAAGAACUUCAAGAAGGACGGCAAGGAUGUUGCCGCGCCCGGUAAGCCAGUUGCCGGGAAGAAGUCAAAGAAUGGACCCAAGCCUGAGACUGAGUGCUUUUAUUGCAAGGGGAAGGGUCACUGGAAGCGGAACUACCCCAAAUACUUAGCAGACAAGAAGGCCGGCAACACUGAAGGUAUAUGUGAUAUACAUGUAAUUGAUGUGUUCCUUACCAGUACUCGUAGUAACUCCUGGGUAUUUGAUACCGCUGCCAUUGCUCAUAUUUGUAACUCACAGCAGGAGCUGCGGAAUAAGUGGAGACUGGUGAAGGACGAGGUGACGAUGCGCGUCGGGAAUGGUUCCAAGGUCGAUGUGAUCGCCGUCGGCACGCUACCUCUACAUUUACCUACGGGGUUAGUUUUAAACCUCAAUAAUUGUUAUUUAGUGCCAAGUUUGAGCAUGAACAUUGUAUCUGGAUCUCGUUUGAUACGAGAUGGCUACUCAUUUAAAUCUGAGAAUAAUGGUUGUUCUAUUUAUAUGAGAGAUAUGUUUUAUGGUCAUGCCCCGAUGGUCAAUGGUUUAUUCUUAAUGAAUCUCGAACGUAAUGUUACACAUAUUCAUAGUGUGAAUACCAAAAGAUGUAAAGUUGAUAACGAUAGUCCCACAUACUUGUGGCACUGCCGCCUUGGUCAGAUUGGUGUCAAGCGCAUGAAGAAGCUCCAUGCUGAUGGACUUUUAGAGUCUCUCGAUUAUGAAUCAUUUGACACAUGCGAACCAUGCCUCAUGGGCAAAAUGACCAAGACUCCGUUCUCCGGAACAAUGGAGCGAGCAACCAACUUAUUGGAAAUCAUACAUACCGAUGUGUGCGGUCCAAUGAGCGUUGAGGCUCGCGGAGGAUAUCGUUAUGUUCUCACUCUCACUGAUGACUUGAGUAGAUAUGGGUAUGUCUACUUAAUGAAACACAAGUCUGAGACCUUUGAAAAGUUCAAGGAAUUUCAUAAUGAGGUAGAGAAUCAACGUGACCGAAAGAUAAAGUUCCUACGAUCAGAUCGUGGAGGAGAAUAUUUAAGUCAUGAAUUUGGUACACACUUAAGGAAAUGUGGAAUUGUUUCACAACUCAUGCCACCUGGAACACCUCAGCGUAACGGUGUGUCCGAACAUCGUAAUCGCACUCUAUUGGAUAUGGUGCGGUCUAUGAUGUCUCUUACCGAUUUACCGCUAUCAUUUUGGGGAUACGCUCUAGAGACAGCUACAUUCACUUUAAAUAGGGCUCUGUCUAAAUCCAUUGAGACAACACCGUAUGAAUUAUGGUUUGGGAAGAAACCUAAGAUGUCGUUUCUAAAAGUUUGGGGAUGCGAUGCUUAUGUCAAGAAACUUCAACCUGAAAAGCUCGAACCCAAGUCGGAAAAAUGCGUCUUCAUAGGAUACCCUAAGGAAACCAUUGGGUAUACCUUCUACUUAAGAUCCGAGGGCAAGAUCUUUGUUGCUAAGAACGGAUCCUUUCUGGAAAAAGAGUUUCUCUCGAAAGAAGUAAGUGGGAGGAAAGUAGAACUCGAUGAAGUACUACCUCUUGAACCGGAAAGUAGUGCAGCUCAGCAAAAUGUUCCUGUGGUGCCUACACCGACUAGAGAGGAAAUUAAUGAUGAUGAUCAAGGUACUUCGGAUCAAGUUGCUACUGAACUUCGUAGGUCCACAAGGACACGUUCCACACCAGAGUGGUAUGGCAACCCUGUCCUGGAAAUAAUGUUGUUAGACAACGGUGAACCUUCGAACUAUGAAGAAGCGAUGGCGGGCCCAGAUUCCAACAAAUGGCUUGAAGCCAUGCAAUCCGAGAUAGAAUCCAUGUAUGAAAACAAAGUAUGGACUUUGACAGACUUGCCCGAUGAUCAGUGAGCGAUUGAAAACAAAUGGAUCUUUAAGAAGAAGACGGAUGCGGAUGGUAAUGUUACCAUCUAUAAAGCUCGACUUGUCGCUAAGGGUUAUCUACAAGUUCAAGGGGUUGACUAUGAUGAGACAUUCUCUCCCGUAGCGAAGCUGAAGUCCGUUCGAAUCAUGUUAGCAAUUACCGCAUACUAUGAUUAUGAGAUAUGGCAGAUGGACGUCAAAACGGCAUUCCUUAACGGACAUCUUAAGGAAGAACUGUAUAUGAUGCAGCCGAAAGGUUUUGUUGAUCAUAAGAAUGCUAACAAAGUAUGCAAGCUCCAGCGAUCCAUUUAUGGGCUGGUGCAAGCAUCUCGGAGUUGGAACAUUCGCUUUGAUGAGAUGAUCAAAGCGUUUGGGUUUAUGCAGACUUAUGGAGAAGCCUGCGUUUACAAGAAAGUGAGUGGGAGCUCUGUAGCAUUUCUCAUAUUAUAUGUAGAUGACAUAAUCUUGAUGGGAAAUGAUAUAGAACUUUUGGACAACAUUAAGGCCUACUUGAAUAAGUGUUUUUCAAUGAAGGACCUUGGAGAAGCUGCUUACAUAUUAGGCAUCAAGAUCUAUAGGGAUAGAUCGAGACGCCUCAUAGGUCUUUCACAAAGCACAUACCUUGGUAAGAUUUUGAAGAAGUUCAAAAUGGAUCAGUCCAAGAAAGGGUUCUUGCAUGUAUUGCAAGGUGUGAGAUUGAGCUCGGCUCAAUGCCCGACCAUGGCAAAAGAUAAAGAAGAGAUGAGUGUCAUCCCCUAUGCUUCAGCCAUAGGAUCUAUUAUGUAUGCCAUGUUGUGUACCAGACCUAAUGUAAACCUUGCCGUAAGUUUGGUAGGUAGGUACCAAAGUAAUCCCGGCAAGGAAUACUGGACAACGGUCAAGAAUAUCCUAAAGUACUUGAAAAGGACAAAGGACAUGUUUCUCGUUUAUGGAGGUGACGAAGAGCUCGUCGUAAAGGGUUACGUCGACGCUAGCUUCGACACAGAUCUGGAUGACUCUAAGUCACAAACCGGAUACGUGUAUAUGUUGAAUGGUGGAGCAGUAAGCUGGUGCAGCUGCAAGCAGAGCGUCGUGGCGGGAUCUACAUGUGAAGCGGAGUACAUGGCAGCCUCGGAGGCAGCGCAUAAAGCAAUUUGGGUGAAGGAGUUCAUCACUGACCUAGGAGUCAUACCCAAUGCGUCGGGGCCGAUCAAACUCUUCUGUGACAACACUGGAGCUAUUGCCCUUGCCAAGGAGCCCAGGUUUCACAAGAAGACCAGGCACAUCAAGCGUCGUUUCAACUCCAUCCGUGAAAAUGUUCAAGAUGGAGACAUAGAUAUUUGCAAAGUACAUACGGAUCUGAAUGUCGCAGAUCCGUUGACUAAACCUCUUUCGCGAGCAAAACAUGAUCAACACCAGAACUCUAUGGGUGUUCGAUUCAUCACAAUGUAACUAGAUUAUUGACUCUAGUGCAAGUGGGAGACUGUUGGAAAUAUGCCCUAGAGGCAAUAAUAAAAGGAUUAUUAUUAUAUUUCCUUGUUCAUGAUAAUUGUCUUUAUUCAUGCUAUAAUUGUAUUAUCCGGAAAUCGUAAUACACAUGUGAAUACAUAGACCAUAAUAUGUCCCUAGUAAGCCUCUAGUUGACUAGCUCGUUGAUCAACAGAUAGUCAUGAUUUCCUGACUAUGGACAUUAGAUGUCGUUGAUAACGGGAUCACAUCAUUAGGAGAAUGAUGUGAUGGACAAGACCCAAUCCUAAGCAUAGCACAAGAUCGUGUAGUUCGUUUUGCUAGAGCUUUUCCAAUGUCAAGUAUCUUUUCCUUAGACCAUGAGAUCGUGUAACUCCCGGAUACCGUAGGAGUGCUUUGGGUGUACCAAACGUCACAACGUAACUGGGUGACUAUAAAGGUGCACUACAGGUAUCUCCGAAAGUGUUUGUUGGGUUGACAUGGAUCGAGACUGGGAUUUGUCACUCCGUAUGACGGAGAGGUAUCUCUGGGCCCACUCAGUAAUGCAUCAUCAUAAUGAGCUCAAAGUGACCAAGUGUCUGGUCAUGGGAUCAUGCAUUAUGGUACGAGUAAAGUGACUUGCCGGUAACGAGACUGAACGAGGUAUUGGGAUACCGACGAUCGAGUCUCAGGCAAGUAACGUACCGAUUGACAAAGGGAAUUGUAUACGGGGUUGAUUGAAUCCUCGACAUCGUGGUUCAUCCGAUGAGAUCAUCGAGGAGCAUGUGAGAGCCAACAUGGGCAUCCAGAUCCCGCUGUUGGUUAUUGACCGGAGAGCCGUCUCGGUCAUGUCUACGUGUCUCCCGAACCCGUAGGGUCUACACACUUAAGGUUCGGUGACGCUAGGGUUGUAGAGAUAUGAGUAUGCAGCAAACCGAAAGUUGUUUGGAGUCCCGGAUGAGAUCCUGGACGUCACUAGGAGUUCCGGAAUGGUCCGGAGGUAAAGAAUAAUAUAUAGAAAGUGAAGUUUCGGCCAUCGGGAGAGUUUCGGGGGUCACCGGUAUUGUACCGGGACCACCGGAAGGGUCCUGGGGGUCUACCGGGUGGGGCCACCUAUCCCGGAGGGCCCCGUAGGCUGAAGUGGGGAGGGGACCAGCCCCUGGUGGGCUGGUGCGCCCCCCUGGGCCCCCCUCUGCGCCUAGGGUUGGGAACCCUAGGGGAGGGGGCGCUCCACCCCCCUUGGCCGCCGCCCCCCUAGAGAUCCCAUCUCUAGGGCCGGCGCCCCCCCUGGGGGCCUAUAUAAAGGAGGGGGAGGGAGGGCAGACGCACCCUGAAGUCUUGGCGCCUCCCUCUCCCCUGCUACACCUCUCCCUCUCGCAGAAGCUCGACGAAGCUCUGCCGGAACUCUGCUGCAUCCACCACCACGCCGUCGUGCUGCUGGAUCUUCAUCAACCUCUCCUCCCCCCUUGCUGGAUCAAGAAGGAGGAGACAUCAUCCGCUCCGUACGUGUGUUGAACGCGGAGGUGCUGUCCGUUCAGCACUUGGUCAUCGGUGAUUUGGAUCACGAAGAGUACGACUCCCUCAACCCCGUUCUCUUGAAAGCUUCCGCUCGCGAUCUACAAGGGUAUGUAGAUGCACUCCUAUAACUCGUUGCUAGAUGAACUCAUAGAUGGAUCUUGGUGAAACCGUAGGAAUUUUUUUAUUUUCUGCAACGUUCCCCAACACGUCAGCAGUUGUAUUUUGAGUGUAAUAUAGGCAGACAACAAAGUCAUUUCACUAUUCCCCUUCCUUCAAUUAUUAGUGAGGUUCUACCUGAAACACCCCCCUCCAAAGCGAAAUUAGUUAAGCCCAAGCCCAUAACUCAAAAAUGACAUCUUUACAUCUUUUAUGGCUUAUUUUGACAAUAAGCCCUGAAAAGGCGGAAUCGAACUGGCCCUUAACCUGUAAUUCAAUUGUGCGUGCAAUGAUGAAUCACUCCUGCCUGCUAUAGUGUACAUUUAGGCAUCAUCAUACAUGGCAUAACCUAAUACAUGUGCAUUCCAUUGUAGAAUCUGGACUAUGCAAUGUUUAUGUUAGUUCAUACAUUGCACAUGAUGUUUAAAUGCCCCUUAAAUCUGGUCAGUCAAGUGAUGGUCUUUAAGCCUCCUUCUUUGCUUCUUUUCUUGAUAUGUAAGAUUUGCUCACACAUCUGUUCAAUUGCUUGUUUGCAUCAGCCAGCCAUACUAGGACUGUUUGCUUUGAUUACUUGAUGUUCUUUACUUAACACUAUAAUAGAGCUUGUCAACGAUUUAAACACUAAGGGCUACUGUAGUGGGGCCUUGCCUAACUCAUAGGUGACAUAAAGGUUUGGCUGUACACUAAAGUAGGCUCUCCAAGAGUACCUGGAGAUUCAGUUCGAAGGUAUGCCUAGUUUUUACAUAGUGCAGACAUAGUAAAUGCUCAUUUCAUUGUGUGCAAGUGCAAGAGAUGUGGCAUGUUUCAUUAUGUGGUGUUGUUUUGUUAUAAUCUCAUCCUUUUGUGUUCACAUACUGGAAAGUAUGCAUAUUUAUCUUCCAAGGAGAUGAGUAACUAGUUUGUGUCACCUUGCAGAGGGGAUGCAAUGAAGAUAAGAUUGAGGAUUUCCAAGUACAAGAUGUUAGGAAGGAGCCUUGCAAGAGAAGUAGGAGCUGCGCUGAGCCUCUUCAACUUGUUAAGGUAAGUCACUGUAUGCAACUCAGCAGUUCAAUUCCUUGUUUGUUUCAGGCAUAGUUAAUUUGCUCGUUUCAAUUGCUUUAUUUGUCCUUAAUUAAUGAGAUGCCCAAAGAAUCAUGCCUAAUGUUGGGUACUUGUAUAACUAUUAGUUGACAUAGUUAAAGGCCUUACCAUUUAAUUAAUCCGCCGAAGUGUGCCUGAAGCUUUGAAGUCUAUUAACCAACUAUUAUUGCAUGAGGCUCACAAUCUAGUUUAUACUAGGCUAAUGAUUGCAUAGUUUUGCCUGCUGUAGUAUGUUUGUAUGAAACCCUCUAUUGUUCAUUAUGCUCCCUAAGACUUUAAUUGAGCAACAGAAUGGCCAACUGCUUGCUUACUGAUACGCAACAUGCUGUCUAAAUUUGUAACUUGUUUGUGUUUUGGAUUGGGCCCCAACAUCAUGCUCCUCUGGUGAGCUAAGAGGGAUUUAUGUAUGCAGGCUGCACAGACUAUCUUUUUUAUAAUUUUUAAAAUAUCACCUGCUUAUUCUUCAUGACGUGUAACAUUAUUGUUAGUCCUGUUUUGCCAUGUAGUACAAAAUAAUAUCUUGCUCGCUUCACUGUUGUAACUAUAUUUUUGCCCUAGUCAUGUGUACUUACAGAAACAUUUCAGGAUGAAGUGACAUCAACACAAAGAUCUGCGAGCAGUGCGGUCGUUACCGAAUGAUUAUGGAUUGGAAUUGGAAUGUGCUGAUGUUCUUGAGCAUCAACUAGAGAUGGCAAGACAACGUGUACAUGAUUGUCAACGUAUAAUCAACAAGUUGAAACUAGACAUGCAGGUAUUAGAUGCAGGAGUCAAAAAAAUGAAACAAGACACUGAGGUAACCAUGAAGGAAUUGGAGAUUUUGUAGACUUGAAAUUGUGUUAUCUAAAUCCGGCCAAUCCUAUUUUCUGAAGAGAUUAUAGUUCAAAUGGAGUUAAGUUGAUGCGCAUCCAUGAUGUAUGAGUUGUAUUCGCGCAGUAUAUGUAAUUUGCUCUUUGUGUACGCUUUAUUAUCACCUAUGCCGAACCAUAAUGCCCAGUGGGUAUAAUUGGCUGUAAUUUCUUUAUUGUAUAGUGUAGGAUUAUUCUACGUUUCUAUGCCUUGGUCUCUUUGUUGUAUAGUGUAUGUUUUUUAGAGGUGAUAGUAUUGAGUAGGAUAAUUCUUUGAAUAUGCUAUAUCGUUCAAACUGGGGCCAACUCGCUCGAACGUUGUAGUGACCAUGGCCCUCCACGGGCCGUAUGAUCCAUGGGCCAUGUACGGGCCAUUGUAUCCAUGGGCCUUCAAUGGGCCGUCGGAUCCAUGGGCCUUCAAUGGGCCGUCUCGUAGGAUCCAUGGGCCUUCUACGUCUCGUAGGAUCCAUGGGCCUUCUACGUCUCGUAGGAUCCAUGGGCCUUGUAAGGGUCGACUCAUUUAUGGGCCUUGUACGGGCCUUUAAUGGGCCGUAGACGGGCUAGAGUGGAAAUUGUACGUUUUAUGGGAUGACCAUAACGGGCCGUUAAUAGGCCGUAUUUGGUGAUGCUAUGAAAAUGGCCCAACAGAUGAAGGUCCACAAACGGGCCGACCGUAACGACGGGCUGAAUUUGGCCCACAACCAUAAAAUGACAGUAACGGGCCAUAAGUAACCGAAUGCCGCAAAUGAGUCCAAGAAUAAAUGUGCCCUCAGAAGGCCGAAAGAUAACUUGGGCUGGAAACAGCCAAACGGAAUAACGGGUCAUUAAUGGGUAUAAAGUGAUACACUGUUCAUUAUGGGCCAGUUUCACCACGGGCCGUUAAUGGGUGUAAAGUGAUACACUGUUCAUUACGGGCCAGUUUCACCAUGGGUCGUUAAUGGGCCAAGAGUUACAAAGGGCCUCAUAUGGGCCGAAAGACGUCAUGGGCCAUACAUGGGCCAGAAGUGAAAACAGGCUGGAACCAUAUUGGAUGGCCCAGAUGAUGCUACUGGGCCUAAUUCGGAUAGGGCGUAAUGGGCCUUGGGUUAGCGGGCUGUAAAUGGGCUAUAUGCGAAUAGGCUGUUAACAGGCUUUCCAUGGGCCGGCCCGCCACCUUUUGACCAAGUCAAACGGGCCGGCCUUUUCACAGGAAUGGGCCUCUAUUGGGUCGUGCCACAUGUCGAUCUAUCAUAGGCGCAUUCUGUCCAAUAUGUGGAUGACAUCUGUCCCAACGAUUAGCCGACACGUGUUUCCUCCAGCCAAUGAUGAUUUUACACGUGGAAAAUCCCCAUUGGUCAGGGCUGUUAACGGGUUAUCGGAUCCAAAACCCGACCCGAUAGCUUAACGGCAUUCCGUUACGGUGGAUGCCAUGUGUCGGUCACCCUUGAUGAAAGCACUUCUGUGAUGCGCGAUUUAUCGUCAUGGAAGUGGACACUUCCGUGAUGAUAAUUUUGGUAAUGUCAUGGAACACUUCAUAAAAUCGUCAUGGAUGUACAUGCAUGACAAGAAACGCGACCUACUAUGACAAACACGUAUCAUCACGGAAGUGUAUUUUUUUGUAGUUUCAUUCUUUACUUGGUGCUUCUAUAGUUCUUCAGUAUAUGUACCUGUGCAUCGAAUUAUGCAUUCGUGGUUGAACCUAUAUUUGUAAUAAACCUGGUUGGAUAUGAAAUAAGUGAUUGCCUACUUUCAAAUUCAAAAAUGUGAUUUUUAAAUUAGGGAUUAAUAAGGGAUUAAUUAGGGAUCAAUCAGGGAUUAAUUAGGGAUUACACUACACACGGUUUGCAAAAGCGAAAUGUCUGCGAUAGACGUGGAGAUCAGACAUGUUUCUAGGAUCCACUAUGUGUGUGAUCAAUCUCCACUGCACACACGAUCAACCAGGAAAAAACAUGUGCGAUCAAUCUCCACUGCACACAUGAUCACCCAAGAAAAAAUGUGUGUGAUUAACAACAGCAUUGCACACAGUUCUUUCUUAUUAAAUGUUUGAGAUAGUCACCUUAUCACACACGCUUCAAAUUUUUUUUUGACUAGGAACUGUGGGGCAAAACCCCCACAGCAUAUCAAAACUUUAUUGAAAAAAGAAUAAGUAAUACAACAGGGUGAUUACAAGGAGUAACCAGGGUACAAGGUAACACAAGAAAGGGGGGCUUACAAAAACUAGCUUAGGGUGGGAGAAAAGAGAUCCAUCUAAGCAGUUCAUCCUUGUAAACAGAUUUGAUUCUGUGCUGCAUAAGGCUAAUAUCAUGCUUAAAAGCAAACCUCCAUUUAUUGAAACUAGCUCUCUCAUUUCUGAAUACUUUGGCAUUUCUGAUGAUCCAAAUAUUCCAGCAAGCAAUGAAAACCACUUCAGAGAAAAAGGGUUUAUCAAAACUUCUUUUAGCCUGAGUAACCUGCUGCAUCAUGGAGGUGCCAGUAGACCAGUCAAUCUGCAGAUAAUUCCAGACCCUGACACUGAAAUUGCAGUUGAAGAAUAGGUGAUCCCUGGUUUCUCUAACCUGCAAAGGACAAAGCCUACAAUGGACCCCAUCAUCCAUGUGCCAGUGCCUUCUCUCAACCAUGUCCUUAGUGUUCAACCUGUCCAUAAUAAGCAUCCAUGCAAAAACCUUGAUCUUGGGGGUACAAGAGGAUUUUCAAACCCCACAGAGCAAGGGAUUAAAUGAUUCAGACACAGAAGUGUGUGAGUAGAACAUCUUGGGUUUGAAAAACUUGGUGGAUCCUUGCCAGAACCAAACAUCUCUCAAACUUGAGUCUCUGCUGUGGGAAUUCAUCAAUUCCUGAAUCUGGUUCAACUCAUCAUAGGCCUGAGCAGAUAAGGGGAGGUGAAAGAGUUGAUGAAUAUCCUGGGUAUUGAAAGAUUCCUUAACUGAGAUCCAGGGAUCCUUGGCAAAAGAGUAAAGCCUUGGGAAUCUUGUCUGCAAACUAGACACUGCGUUAUCAAGGUUCCAAUUAUCAGCCCAAAAAAGGGCAGUGUCCCCUUCAUUAAUUUGAACCCAGGAGCCACACGCUUCAAAAUUAUUGACUGUUUGUGAUGUACAUACUAAUGGAAACGUAUACCUUGGAUCGACUGUGUGGAAUAUGCAUAUGAACGGAAACAUUUAUUAGGGGCUGACUAUGUGGGAUGUACUUAUGACCAGAAACGAUUUUGCAUGUAUAAUUGCUUUUUUAGCACUACUGUACGUAUAACCGUAUUUGCUCGCUCAUCGGUCGCACACGACCUCAUUUCGCCGAGCAUGUGUGCUAGGAGGGCAUGUCCCCGACGGUUUCUAGGUUGGUGUGGGAAGGACCCCCCUAUCGCCUAGACUCACUAGGUGACGGUUCCAAACACCAUCGCGGAAAGGGGUUAAAAACCAUUUGUAUAGCAUCGACACGUACCAGUGUGGGGACACAAGAGAUUUCUUGUAUUUGAUUGCAGGGUUGCUUGAGAGAGACUAUCUUCAUCCUACGCCUCCCAUGGAUUGAUAAACCUUAGGUCAUCCACUUGAGGGAAAAUUGCUACUGUCCUACAAAACUCUGCGCUUGGAGGCCCAACACGCGUCUACAAGAACAAAGUUGCAUAGUAGACAUCAUAGCUGCUCGGCAAUGGGUCUGAAGGCCAUGGCCGGAUAGAGAUCCUUCAUGGCUAGCUCCGCCAUAUGAUGUAGCUCCAUCAACUGCUUCAUCUGGUUGUUAAAGAGGGGAGGGUGCUCGGGCGCCCGGAACUGCACCCAAAACAACCUAUGCUCGGCAUCGCCCUCCUGGGACGCAAAGUGCCUCGCCGCAUCUACCACAAUCCUCAGAAGAUCCGCAAAAGUGCCUGGGGAAUGCCAUACUCGCGUGAGCAAAGCGAACCUGUUACCACCAAAGACACUUUGAAGUAAGUACGGCUUACCAUCUGCAAAAAUCCUAACUUGGCGGAGUUCUUCUCGGGCGCCUCUCACCUCUGUCUUAGCCUCCUGGAUCGACAACUUCACUGAGGUUAGCUCAGUGGCUUGAUACUUAGUUUUCUGCUCAAGGUCCUCACAUUUAGUGACGGCUUCCUUGAGCUCUUGCGGCACCUCGGCUACUCUGGCCUUGUGCUUGUCACUGACAUACUUCACCGUCGUAAGUUCGGCGGCCGCUCGUUCGGCUGCCGCCUUCUAUUAUGCGGCCUCUUGCUUUGCCUUCUUCAGCUCGGCCUUGAGGUUCUCAACCUCCGCGGUGAAAAUUGCAUUUAUAAUGAGCACCCCGCACUUAGGGAUAAAACCUAAAUACCUCACUUGAUGAGGAAACCCAAUGUAUUAAAACAGUCCAGUCCUGACUCACCUUGUGCUUCAUCGAACAGCUUGUUGAGAAGGUCGAGCUCCUCGUCGGAGCUCUUGAGCUUCUGACUCACCUCAGCCAGCUCCACGGUGUUGGCGGCUGCCGCUGAAGACGAGGCAUGCACAACAUGUCAGACUCCUGAGUUAUCGAUAUUUAGAUCCUCUGCCAGGUUUUCUUCAAUACUUCCAGAGUCUCGGGGGCUACGGUUCACUUUUGCUAUCAUCAGUGUUUUUGAACUAUUCGACCCCCACUUAAGUUUUUCAAACUCACCCAGGGCUCGGGGGCUACUAUAUAUGACGAUUGCAUAAUCUCAUAAAAUAAAUUCUCCUUGUUAAAGGGUAUUACAUGACUUACCUUGAAUCUAGUCAAGAGGCCGCCGAAAGCCUCCUUCGAUCCACUAUCAAAGAACCGAAUGCUUUGUAAAACUGCGCCAUCAGAGUGUGGUGUUCUUCGAGGAUGGAGGAACUAUUCAAAGCCUCCUCCACCACGGCCGACCACCUAGCUAGUUUUGAGCUGCUCUGCUAUGGGUGGCACUGGUGUCAACACCUUGGCUCCCCCUUCGGUGGGGUCAGAGUGGACGACUCCGGGGGCCUUGGGGCCUCCGAGACCGUCUUCAGAGAGAGCUCGGACCUACUGAGCUCCCCUCUUUGUUUACCAGGAGGGAUCCCCCUUCUGGUCUUUGGCAACUGAGGUAUUUACCUCGGCUUGAUGUCAUUGCCUCCCCCCUCGUGUUUGUCCCAGGAGGGGUAUUCUGGGACAGCACCUCCCCGUUCUCCUUGAUGGUCGAAGGAGGUGUAGUGCACAAUGCGGUCCUGCUCUCUGCCAGCUUGGUUGGCGGGGAGUCCCUUCCGAGACUCGAUCGAUGAAAAGAUUGCGUGGAGGGCUACAAUUAAUGUGAAAGGCAGGCACACGGUUAGUAAUGAUCUUUCUUAAAACGCACGGAGGCGUCUUCGGAUGCAUACCUCUAGGCCGGGGGCUUGACCCUGGGGUUCCUCUAGGGGACCUCUUCGAAAGCCUUGGACUCCUCGGCGGAGUCCAAGCUGUCAUCGGACAAGACCACCUUGGCCCUGCGCUGCUUCUUCGGGGUAGGAGGAGGCUGAUCCUCCUCGGCAUCGUCUGAUGCCACCCUCUUCCGUGUUCGGGAGGAGCCGCUCUCCUCCCUAUCUUCUCCCUGCUCACCCUCAUGAGCGGAAGGGUCUUGGGUUUCCUUGGACUUAGUAUAUAUCCUGGGGUCCUCUUGGGUAGAGGCCUUCUCGGGCCUCCCUUUUCUCGCCCUUCUUCAUCUCCUUCUUCUCCGCAACUUAUACGGCACCACGGCCAAUAUCUCCAUCAGUAAGGCCAUCCUGGGGCCCUCGGGCAGCGGGUUCGGGCCAUCAUCUGCACAGCUUUCUCUAGCCAGCUUUGCAAAUGUGGGGAAGAAGGGGUCAAGUUCCUUGUAAAAUAUAGUAUCCGACCAUAAGAGUAAAACUUUAUUGUACCUCCAGAAGAGGGUGUGCGGCGUUGAGGCUGAUGUCUUCUUCCCUAGCCGACCAGUCCUUCUAGGGCUUGAACAACACCUUCCACAGCUUGUCGUAGGUGGUGCGGUAGAAAAAGAGCACGGUGAAGGGUCUUCGGGCUUGUAGGACUACAUUGGGGCAGCCCGAUGUUGGCAAGGUAGGAGGUGGCGGCGAAGCAUGACCUGAACCAUAUUCGUCAGUUUGACUUUCUUCUUUAUCAUCUGGGAGAUGCGCUUCUGCAGUGACUUGAUACGUCCAUUUUGCAUCAUGUUUUCCUACUGUUAUUUAAGUUGUUCUAUUGUAUAAUAAUGCUUUUUGGAGUAAUACUAAUGCCUUUUAUCUCAUAAUGUGCAAGGUAUGCACCAAGGGGGAGAAUUCUGGCAACUGGAAACCUGGACCUGAAAAAGCUACGUCAAGCUACCUAUUCUGCACAACUCCAAAUAACCUGAAACUCCACGAGGAUUUUUUAUGGAAUACAUAAUAAAUAUUUGAGCAAAUGAGUACCACAGGAGGGCCACCAGGUGGGUGCGCCAGGAGGCCCAGGCGCGCCCUGGUGGGUGCUGCCCCCCUUGGCCCACCUCUAGUGCCCAUCUUCUGGUAUAUAAGUCGUUUUGACCUAGAAAAAAAUUAGGAGUGGACUUUCGGGACGAAGCACCGCCGCCUCGAGGCGGAACUUGGGCAGGAGCACUUUUGCCCUCCAGCGGAGCAAUUCCACUGGGGGAACUUCCCUCCCGGAGGGGGAAAUCAUCGUCGUCAUCAUCACCAACAACUCACCCAUCUUGGGGAGGGCUAUCUUCAUCAACAUCUUCACAGCACCAACUCCUCUCAAACCCUAGUUCAUCUCUUGUGUUCAACCUUUGUCAAAACUAUAGAUUGGUGCUUGUGGGUGGCUAGUAGUGUUGAUUACAUCUUGUAGUUGAUUACUAUAUGGUUUAUUUGGUGGGAGAUUAUAUGUUCAGAUCCAUUAUGCUAUUUAUAACUCCUCUGAUCUUGAGCAUGUUUAUCAUUUGUGAGUAGUAAUUUCGUCCUUAAGGUCACGGGAGAAAUCAUGUUGCAAGUAAUCAUGUGAACUUGAUAUGUGUUCGAUAUUUUGAUGGUAUGUAUGUUGCCAUUCUCUUAGUGGUGUCAUGUGAACGUCAACUACAUGACACUUCAACAUAUUUGGGCCUAAGAGAAUGCAUUGUCGAUUAUUUAUUAGAUGGUUGGUUGUGAGAGUGACAGAAGCUUAAACCCCAGUUUAUGCGCUAUUCCGUAAGGGACCGAUUGGAUCCAAAAGUUUAAUGCUAUGGUUAGAAUUUAUUCUUAAUACUUAUCUCGUAGUUGUGUAUGCUUGCGAGAGUGUUAAUAAUAAGUAGGAGGUUUGUUCAAGUAAGAACAGCACCUAAGCACCGGUCCACCCACAUAUCAAAUUAUCAAAGUACCGAACACGAAUUAAGCCAACAUGAUGGAAGUGACUAGAUGAAAUUCCCAUGUACCCUCAAGAACACUUUGCUUAUCGUAAGAAACUAUUUUGGUAUGUCCUUUCCCUCAAAAGGAUUGGGCUACCUUGCUGCACUUUUGUUGCUACUAUUGUUACUUGAUCAUUACAAAUUAUCUUGCUAUCAAACUACUCUGCUACUUACAAUUUUAGCACUUAGAGACAUUACCUUGCUGAAAACCACUUGCCAUUUCCUUCUGCUCAUUGUUGGGUUCGACACUCUUACUUAUUGAAAAGUUCUACAAUUGACCCCAUACACUUGUGGGUCAAGGAAAUUUUUUGGCGCCGUUGCUGGGGAGUGAAGCACUCUUGGUAAGUGGAAAUUGGUAAGGGAACAUUAUUACUACGUGCUGAAAUUUAUUGUCACUUGCUACUAUGGAAAACAAUCCUUUGAGGGGUUUGUUCGGGGUAUCUUCACCUCGACCGGAACCACAAUUAGUUACCCCUCAACCUACUGCACCUACUGAAAAUAUUGAAUAUGAAAUUCCUUUGGGUAUGUUAAGAGCAACUGCUAGCUAAUCCUUACGCAUGAGAUGGAACCGAACAUCCUGAUAUGCACUUGAUAUAUUUCAUAUGUCGAUGAAAUUUGUGGAUUAUUUAAGCUUGCAGGUUUACCCAGGCAUAAAGCCAAGAAGAAGUUUUUCCCUUUAUCUUUGAAGGGAAAAGAAUUGACAUGGUGUAGGCUAUGCGAUGAUAUUGGAUCUUGGAACUGGAACAGUUUGAAAUUGGGAUUUCGUCAGAAAUUUUUUCGUAUGCAUCUAGUUCAUCAUGAUCGGAAUUAUAUAUGUAAUUUUUGGCCUCGUGAAGGAGAAAGUAUCGCUCUAGCUUGGGGGAGGAUUAAGUCAAUGUUAUAUUCAUGCCCCAAUCAUGAGCUCUCGAGAGAAAUCAUUAUUCAAAAAAUUUAUGCUCGGCUUUCUCGUAAUGAUCAAUCCAUGCUCGAUACUUCUUGUACUGGUUCUUUCAUGAAGAAGAUUAUUGAAUUUUGGUGGGAUCUUUUAGAAAGAAUUAAGCGCAACUCUGAAGAUUGGGAACUCGACGAAGGUACAAAUUUAGGUAUUGAACCUCAGUUUGAUUGUGUUAAAUCUUUUAUGAGUACCGAUGCUUUCUGAAAGUUUAGCACUAAAUAUGGACUUGACUCUGAGAUAGUAGCUUCCUUUUGUAAAUCUUUUUCUACUCGUGUUGAUCUCCCUAAGGAGAAGUGGUUUAAAUAUCACCCACCAAUUAAAAAAGAAGUUAAAUAACCGGAAAAAGCUAAAGAAGAAACUAUCAUUUACAAUGUUGAUCCAGUUGUUCCCACUGCUUAUAUUGAAAAACCUCCUUUUCCUGUUAGGAUGAAAGAACAUGCUAAAGCUUCAACUGCGAUUAACAAAAUUUAUGUUAGAACACCCAAACCUUAUGAACAAAUCAAAGUUGAACCUAGUGUUGCUAUGGUUAAAGAUCUCUUAGUUGAUAAUAUUGAUGGGCAUGUUAUUUACUUCUAUGAUGAAGCUUCUAGAAUUGCUAAACCUGAAGGAAAAGAUAACCAUAGACCAGUUGUUGGCAUGCUUGUUGUCUCAGUUAAGAUAGGGGAUCACUGUUAUCAUGGGUUAUGUGACCUAGGUGCUAGUGUGAGUGCUAUUUCUUAUUCCUUAUACGAAGAAAUUAAAGAUGAAAUGGCACCUGCUGAAAUAGAAGACAUAGAUGUCACUAUUAAACUUGUUAAUAGAGAUACCAUAUCACCAAUUGGGAUUCUUAGAGAUGUUGAAGUCUUGUAUGGGAAAAUAAAAUACCCUACUGAUUUUCUUGUUCAUAGCACCCCACAAGAUGACUUUUGUCCCAUUAUUUUUGGUAGACCUUUCUUAAACACCGUCAAUGCUAGAAUAGAUUGUGAGAAACAAACUAUCGGUGUUAGCUUUGGUAAUGAAUCUCAUGAGUUUAAUUUUUCCAAGUUUAGUAAACAACCUCAUAAGAAAGAUUUGCCUAGUAACAAUGAAAUUAUUGGUCUUGCUUCUAUUGUUGUGCCUGCUACUGAUCCUUUGGAACAAUAUUUGCUAGACCAUGAAAAUGAUUUGCAUAUGCGUGAAAGAAAUGAAAUAGAUAGAAUCUUUUCCAAUAACCACCUCAGCUUAAACACAAUCUACCUAUUGAAACUUUAGGAGGUCCUCCUCCACCUAAAGGUGAUCCUGUAUUUGGAUUAAAACAAUUGCCAGAUACUUUGAAAUAUGCUUAUCUUGAUGAAAAGAAGAUAUAUCCUGUUAUUAUUAGUGUUAACCUUUCAGAACAUGAAGAAGAAAGAUCAUUGAAAGUUCUAAGGAAGCACAGGGCUGCUAUUGGAUAUACUCUCAAUGAUCUUAAGUGCAUUAGUCCCACUCUAUGUCAGCACAAGAUUAAUGUGGAACCUGAUACUAAACCCGUUGUUGAUCACCAAUGUCGGUUAAACCCGAAAAUGAAAGAAGUGGUAAGAACUGAAAUAUUGGAACUUCCGGAAGCAGGUAUAAUCUAUCCUAUAGUUGAUAGUAGAUGGGUAAGUCUUGUUCAUUGUGUCCCUAAGAAGGGAGGUAUUACUGUUGUUCCUAAUGAUAAGAAUGAGCUUAUUCCAAAAAGAAUUGUCACGGGCUAUAGAAUGGUAAUUGAUUAUAGAAAAUUAAAUAAAGCUACUACAAAAGAUCAUUACCCUCUGCCUUUUAUCGAUCAAAUGUAAGAAAGAUUAUCUAAGAACACACAUUUUUGCUUCCUUGAUGGAUACUCUGGCUUCUUAGAAAUACCUGUUUUACAAUCUAAUCAAGAAAAGACCACUUUUACUUGUCCUUUUGGAACCUUUGCUUAUAGACGUAUGCCUUUCGGUUUAUGUAAUGCACCUGCUACCUUUCAAAGAUGUAUGCCUGCUAUAUUCUCUGAUUUUUGUGAAAAGAUUGUUGAGGUUUUCAUGGAUGACUUUUUUGUUUAUGGGAAGUCUUUUGAUGAUUGUUUAAGCAAUCUUUAUCGAGUUUUGCAGAGAUGUGAACAAACAAAUCUCAUCUUGAAUUGGGAGAAGUGCCACUUUAUGGUUAAUGAAGGUAUUGUCUUGGGCCAUAAAAUUACUGAAAGAGGCGUUGAGGUGGAUAAAGCCAACAUUGAUGCAAAUGAGAAAAUGCCAUCUCCUAAAGAUAUCAAAGGUAUUUGUAGUUUCCUUGGUCAUGCUGGUUUCUAUAGGAAGUUUAUCAAAGACAUCUCUAAAAUUUCUAGGCCUCUUACUAAUCUUUUGCAAAAGGAUAUUCCCUUUGUGUUUGAUGAUGAUUGCAUGGAAGCCUUUGAAACACUAAAUAAAGCCUUAAUCACUGCACCUGUUGUUCAACCACCUGAUUGGAACUUGCCUUUUGAGAUUAUGUGUGACUAGUGAUUAUGUUGUUGGUGUUGUUCUAGGACAAAUAGUUGAUAAGAAAACUAAAUGUUAUUCAUUAUGCUAGUAGAACUCUAGACAAUGCUCAACGAAACUAUGCUACUACUGAAAAAGAAUUCUUAGCAGUGGUGUUUGCUUGUGAUAAAUUCAAAUCUUAAAUUGUUGAUUCUAAAGUAAUUGUUCACACCGAUCAUGCUGCUAUAAAAUAUCUUAUGGAAAAGAAAAUGCUAAACCUAGACUCAUUAGGUGGGUUCUUCUGCUACAAGAAUUUGACGUGCAUAUCACUGAUAGGAAAGGAGCAGAGAACCCCGUAGCUGAUAACUUGUCUAGACUUAGAAAUAUUCUUGAUGACCCACAACCAAUUAAUGAUAGCUUCCCUCUCAUGAACAACUAGCUACAAUAAAUGUUUCUCAUAGUACACCUUGGUAUGCUGACUAUGCUAAUUAUAUUGUUGCUAAAUACAUAACACCUAGCUUCACAUACCAACAAAAGAAAAAAUUCUUCUAUGAUUUAAGACAUUACUUUUGGGAUGACCCACAUCUUUAUAAAGGAGUGAUAUGGCACAUCCAAUACCAGUCACACCUAGUGCACCGCCUAUGCCAACCAUUGAUAAUCGUGUGGAGACAUACGCGGUCAUUGGAGAGGCGAUUAUGCCGGUUGACAAGAUAUUAAACACGAAAGAGGUGCUGAAGGAGGACGGGCAACAUAAGAAAAGCAACAUUUUGUUUCAGUUCAUAGAGGCCUUGAUGGUCACCUUCGAGGACUAUGUGGUAUAGGUAUUGCGCCGGUCAUAAUUAAUAAUGGGAUUAAUAAUGGGAGAAGGCAUAUUGAGUAUAAUGUACCAGUACAAAAGAGGGACAUUUGUCAGUUGGCAUACAUGAAUUUACAUUGGUCUAUGGGCACAUAUGAGCAUGCACAUAGCAUGCAUAAUAGAAGUAUUGGUGGUUAUACACGUUUGAGCAAAACAAAUCAGAUUGCCUUCCUAUAUAAUAGGAAACAGAAUCAAUUUUGUUAUACAAGGAAGUAUGGACGUGAGAUAGAAGAGGAUGAGGCACAAGUCAAAGUCGACCCUAACUUCCGCACGCCGCCUCAGUGGCCUCUAUUUACAUGCUGAAAGUCAGUUUAUAGGGCAAUAAAUAUUUAAUUAUCUUUUUCCUUACGUAGCAAGAAGUCCUAUUCGGUUAGGAUUUAUUGUGCAUGCGUGCACAAUAAAAGGCCGGUCGGCCAUGUAAAAAAGGUUAGGUUAUUUUUCUUCGGUUUAGACAACAUGCGUAUCGACUAUUAAGCGGACCUCUUUGGGUGUCAUCAUUAUUUAUUUUGUGUGAAUUUUCUGCGUGAAAGUUGCACUUGGCUCGAGGUCCGUCGUCACCGACGGGUUGCGCGCUGGUUACGUCUACUACGGGGGGAAGUUCCUCGUGUGUCGAGGGAUUGUCUAUUGGUCGUCGUCAUCCCUGGUUAAGGUUACACGUACUGCUCGUGUAAUUGGGAGUAUUUUUUAUCGGUGGAUUUUGGAGGUUAUUGCAUCGUAAAAGAUCGGGCGAUAUCAGCGGCACAACCGAGGUCAUUCCCUCAUCAGUUGGUUCAAGAUUACUAGGUUUAUUACGGUGCAAUCUUUUUCCUCAUAAUUUAUUCAUAUAGAUCCUAGAACUACGAUGAGAACGGAACACUACUUUGAUGGUGAGAUGUCCCUGAGUGAGCAGGACCCAUCACGGGCCCUUUCUUGGUUUUAGAUUUACACACGAGUACAAGUGAGAGGAAUUUCUUGUGGUACGAUGAUGGAUCGUUGUUCAAAAAUAAAUUUGACCAGUUAAACAGUAUUUGAUGCUUUGAAGCUGUCCUUGAUGGAUCAUCCUGAUCCAUAUAGGCUCUCGUGGCAGGGAAAAUUCCUAACUAUCAAACAUCAAGUGAAGGUACGCUUCAAAUUAUGUGGACACACCGACUUGGUCAUUUGUGAUGUUCUUCCCCAUCAUAUGCAUGUAUGUUCGUUGAUUUUGGGCCAACCAUGGACAAAGAAGCGGGAUCUGCGGAUUGAUAAAUCUGUCACUUUUUCUUGGAGAAAAAUUAAAUUUUUCCAUGAAGGACAGUGGGCACCUUUUGAAGCAUACAAUUCUAAAGAAUAUUUGGAAGAUCGUCAGCGACGCAAUCAUGCACAGGCUGCAAUUGAUGUAAAGGAACAACAAGAAAAGAUGGUGUUGUUAGAAAAUAGAAAGACUGAGGAUGGUGUUGUUAUCACUAAAAUUAUGUCUGCACAUGAAGAGAAACAGGAGAACAGGGCAGUACCACCGAGUGGGUUGAAUGUACAACUUAAAAGGGUAGAUGGUGGACAUAGCAUGGCAGUGAGUGGAGGUCAAUGCACAAGUUUAUUUCAGACUCAGUGUGAUAUUAAGGGUACAACGUGCAAGUUAAUAAUUGAUGGAGGUAGCUGCACUAAUGGCGUCAGCAAGACAUUGGUGGAAAAGCUUAGUUUGUCCACAUGGCGAUAUGAAGAACCAUAUCAUUUGGAGUGGUUGAACAAUUGUGGAAAGCUCAAAAUUACACAUAAGGUGCGUGUACCAUUUUCAGUUGGGCAGUAUGUCGAUGAGGUGGAAUGCGAUGUUUUGCCGCAGGAAGUCUGUGGUUUGUCAAUAUGACCGCAGUGUGCAGCAUGCUGGAAGGAGCAACACAUACACUUUUAUUCAUGAUGGGAGGCAAAGGAUACUGAAAUCAAUGGAUGAGAAAUUAAUCUGCUCAAAUGUGGUAUUGCCGGUGUGGAAGGAGGGGGCUCUCAAGAACAACAUGAAACCGAGGACGGUUUCUCUUCAAGUGGGGGAGGAUGAUGUGGCACAUCCAAUACCAAUCACACCUAGUGCACCGUCUAUGCCAACCCUUGAUAAUCGUGUGGAAACAUACGCGGUCAUUAGAGAGGCGAUUAUGUCGGUUGACAAGAUAUUAAACACGAAAUAGGUGUUGAAGGAGGACGGGCAACAUAAGAAAAGCAACAUUUUGUUUCAGUUCAAUAGAGGCCUUGAUGGUCACCUUCAAGGACUACGUGAUAUGUAUUGCCCCGGUCAUAAUUAAUAAUGGGAUUAAUAAUGGGAGAAGGCAUAUUGAGUAUAAUGUACCAGUACAAAAGAGGGACCUAUGUCAGUUGGCGUACAUGAAUUUACAUUGGUCUAUGGGCACAUAUGAGCAUGCACGUAGCAUGCAUAAUAGAAGUACUGGUGGUUAUACACCUUUGAGCAAAACAAAUCAGAUUGCCUUCCUAUAUAAUAGGAAACAGAAUCAAUUUUGUUAUAGAAGUACGGACAUGAGAUAAAAGAGGAGGAGGCACAAGUCAAAGUCAAUCCUAACUUCCGCACGCCGCCUCAGUGGCCUCUAUUUACACGCUGAAAGUCAGUUUAUAGGGCAAUAAAUAUUUAAUUAUAUUUUUCCUUACGUAGCAAGAAGUCCUAUUCGGUUAGGAUUUCUUGUGCCUGCGUGCAUAAUAAAAGGCCGUCGGCCAUAUAAAAAGGUUAGGUUAUUUUUCUUCGGUGUAGACAACAUGUGUAUUGACUAUUAAUUAAGCGACCCUCUUUGGGUGUCGUCGUUAUUUAUUUUGUGUGAAUUUUCUAUGUGAAAGUUGCACUUGGCUCGAGGUCCGAUGUCACCGACGGGUUGCGCGUUGGUUACAUCUACUAUGGCGGGAAAUUCCUCCUGUGUCGAGGGAUUGUCUGUUGGUCAUCGUCACCCCUGCCUCAGGUUACACGUACUGCUCGUGUAAUUGGGAGUAUUUUUUAUCGGUGGAUUUUGGAGGUUAUUGCAUCGUAAAAGAUCGGGCCAUAUCAGCGGCACAACCGAGGUCGUGCCCUCAUCAAGUAGAAGAUGGUAUUAUUAGACAUUUGGUACCUAAGCAUGAACAGGAACAAAUCCUAUAGAAAUGUCACCCCGAAUCUUAUGGAGGACAUCACGCGGGAGAUAGAGCAGCUCAUAAGGUAUUGCAAUAUGGUUUUUAUUGGCCUACUCUCUUCAAGGAUGCCCGUAGUUCGUCUCAUCAUGUGAUGAAUGCCAAAGAAUAGGUAAUAUCGGUAAGCGUCAAGUAAUGCCUAUGAAUUAUUCACUUGCUGUUGAACCAGUUGAUGUUUGGGAAUUUGACUUUAUGGGACCUUUUCCUUCCUCUAAUGGUCACACACAUAUUUUGGUUGUUGUUGAUCAUGUUACUAAGUGGGUAGGAGGUAUUCCAACCAGUAGUGUUGAUCACAACACCUCUAUUAAAAUGCUAAAGGAAGUUAUUUUCCCAAGGUUUGGAGUCCCUAGAUAUUUAAUGACUGAUGGUGGUUCACACUUUAUUCAUGGUGCUUUCCGUAAGAUGCUUGCUAAGUAUGAUGUUAACCAUAGAACUGCGUCACCUUAUCAUCCUCAGUCUACUGGUCAAGUUGAACUUAGCAAUAAAGAAAUAAAACUAAUCUUACAAAAGACAGUUAAUAGGUCCCGGAAGAAUUGGUCUAAGAAAUUAGAUGAUGCACUUUGGGCUGAUAGAACAGCUUACAAAAAUCCUAUGGGUAUGUCUCCAUAUAAAAUGGUUUAUGGAAAAGCUUGCAUUUACCUCUUCAGUUAGAACACAAAGCAUUUUGGGCAAUAAAAGAACUCAACUAUGAUUUCAAACUUGCUGGAGAAAGAGGUUAUUUGAUAUUAUCUCAUUAGAUGAAUGGAGAACCUAGGCUUGUGAAAAUGCUAAGUUAUUCAAAGAAAAAGUUAAAAGAUGGCAUGACAAAAGAAUCCAAAAGCGUGAGUUCAAAGUCGGAGAAUAUGUUCUUUUGUACAACUCUCCUUUCAAAUUUUUUGCAGGAAAACACCUCUCCAAAUGGGAAGGACCCUAUGUCAUCGAGGAGGUCUAUCAAUCCGGAGCUAUCAAAAUAAAUAAUGCCGAAGGGACUAACCCGAAGGUUGUCAAUGGGAAACGAAUAAAACACUAUAUCUAGGUAUGCCCAUUAAUGUUGAAAGCAAUGUUAUCCAAACUUUGACACCAGAAGAACACAAAAAAGAGUCCUUCCGGAACACUCCAAAAUCGUGAAAAUAAAGGGAGGUACGUGAUACGGUAAGUAAAAGGACUCCGAAAAAUCCGCAAAAAUAUUUUCUGUCAGUUUUGGAAUAUUUAGAAAAUUAGGAAAAUAAGAAACUUCCAGGAAAGUGACCCUGGUGGGCACGAUACACCAGUGUGCACCAGGCAUGCAUGGCACACCCAGGUGGGUUGUGCCCACCUUGGGUACUUUUCGGUCUCCGUUUUUCUUCCAUUCUGCUUGUUCUCCAAGAUAAAAAAAUCCUCUCAAACCUGUUAACCUUUGUAUUGCGGAGAAAUCUUCUGUUUUCUUUCCUUGUUGUUUCUCUGACAGAUAUGAAAUUAUGUCGUCUCAAAACUCGGAGGGUGAGAGCUACGUUGUUGAUUAUAUUGGAAACUCCAAGGUAUAUGGGGAUGUGGAGCACUAUAGCUGGACUUCGAAGGAAGAAGAAGACUAUGAGCCUAAGAGGAAGGAGGAUACGAGCUCAGAGGAAUACGAAGUCCCAUUGCCCCAACUUGGGGACAUGCACAUUGAACUUAAGAAAUCGAGUUUCCCAAAUAAAGCAAAGAAGCCUAAGAUCCAGUUUAUCCCCUUUCGUCUUUUGCAGGAAUGCAAGCAAGAUUUAUGCAACAAGGUAUUGGAACUUGAGUGGGAGAUCAACGAACUGAAAGAUGAGAAUUCCGUCCUCAAGCGUAAGCUAAGGAAGAAAGACAAGAAACCUUCUACUUCAUCACCAUCAUCUUCUUCAUCACCACCAAAAGAAAACUGAGUAUUGUGUAUGGGCACUCCCCUUUGCUUUCGCCAAGCUUGGGGAAGGUUCCCCGGUAUCGUAUCAUCCCUACUACCUUUUGCCUUUACUUUCAUAGUUCGAUCCAUGGUUAUAUUUUGCUAUUAGAUGAAUAAAAGUUUAGUUUUAUCCUUUGUUUUUGUGAGUUUGCUUAGUGAUCAAUCCUUGUAAUCAUGUUCGAGAUAUAAUAAAGUUUAGUUUGAGUUUUACCUUCUUUACUUUCUUGCUGCAAUAAAAAGAAAGGAAAUAAAAGAAAAAGAUCAUAUGCUAAUCUUAUGGUAAGUGAUGACAUUACACAAGGAAAAGUAUAUGUAGAAAAUUUUAUUGUAGAUUGACAAACAUAGCAUUGGUCAAUGAUGCAACACAUGAAAGAAUUAACAAGGGAAGAGAAGAUUCACAUAUAAAUACACUAUCAUGGAAAUCUUUUGUGAUUGUGAGCACCCAUCAAAAUAUUAUAUGCCAAAAUUGUUGACGUUGGACAAGGAAGACAACUUAAUGAUUUAUGUUUGUUCGUAUUCACAUAGAAGUUAUAUUGUCAUAGAUCCUUCAACAUAUGGUCCUUGCCCCUAUCUUUGCUAGCCAAAAAUUCCGCACUAAGUAGAAAUACUACUUGUGCAUCCAAAACCCUUAAACCCUAUAUUGUUCGAGAGUCCACCAUACCUACAUAUGGAUUGGGUAAGAUCCUUCAAGUAAGUUGUAAUCGGUGCAAAAAGGGCAAUAAAAAUUGCUUAUAAAAAUGUGAGAUCAUUUAGUGUAAGGGAAAAUUGAGCGUUGUACGAACUUGUGAUGGUGAAGAAUAAAAGCCACAGAGUGCAUAAUAAAGUUUUACAUCAUAAGGGGCAUUAUAAUGUGACGUUCUCUUGCACUAAGGGGUUGAGCAUACAAACAAAAAGGGCAUGGCAACCUAUGCUUACCUCUGUGAAGGGCCUAUCUUUUACUUUCAUAUUUACUUUUAUGCAAGAGUCAAAGUUUUUCUCUCUAUUCCUUUUUUCUCCUUUGGCAAGCAUCAUGUGGUGAGGAAAGAUCUAGGCACAUAUGUCUGGUUGAAUAUGGGUAGCAUAAGUUAUUAUUGUUGACAUCACCCUUGAGGUGAGUGUGUUGGGAGGCGAAACUAUAAUCCCCCAUCUUUCUUUGUGUCCGAUUGAAACGUUUUGCUCAUGUCUACACGGUGAGUGCUAGCAAUCAUAGAAGACUAAAUGAUGGUUGAGUAUGUGGACUUGCUUAAAGGCUCUGAUACGUGACCCUUCCUGAAAAGAUGAUGAAUUGUAGUUGCAAAGUUGACUGAGAACAUAGUUUGUUAGUUUACAAUAGAGUUUAUGCUUUAUACUUCAAUGUUGUGAUGAAUUGUCACUUGUUCAUGAGAAGUCUAUGAUAAAAGUUCUAUAAUAAAAUUUUAUAUUGAAGUUUUUUGUUGUUAUAAUAAGUCACAUGAUGUUGUUAUGUCGUAUUUUUGUUUUUGUUGACACCUCUCUCUCUAAGCAUGUGGACAUGUUUCUCGAUUUCGGUUUUCGCUUGAGAACAAGCGAGGUGUAAGCUUGGGGGAGUUGUACGUCCAUUUUGCAUCAUGUUUUCUACUAUUAUUUAUGUUGUUUUAUUGUAUCAUAUAAUGAUUUUUGGAGUAAUUAUAAUGCCUUUUCUCUCAUAAUGUGCAAGGUAUGCACCAAGGGGGAGAAUUCUGGCGGCUGGAAAUCUGGACCUGAAAAAGUUAUGUCAAGCUACCUAUUCUGCACAACUCAAAAUGAGCUGAAACUCCCCAAGGAUUUUUUAUGGAAUAUAUAAUAAAUAUUUGAGCAAAUAAGUACCAGAGGAGGGCCACCGGGUGGGCACAACCCACUUGGGCGCGCCAGGAGGCCCAGGCACGCCCUGGUGGGUGCUGCCCUCCUCGGCCCACCUCUGGUGCCCAUCUUCUAGUAUAUAAGUCAUUUUGACCUAGAAGAAAUCAGGAGAGGACGGGACGAAGCGCCGCCGCCUCGAGGUGGAACUUGGGCAGGAGCACUUUUGCCCUCCAGCGGAGCGAUUCUGCCGGGGGAACUUUCCUCCCGGAGGGGGAAAUCAUCGCCAUCAUCAUCACCAACAACUUUCCCAUCUUGGGGAGGGCUAUCUUCAUCAACAUCUUCACAGCACCAACUCCUCUCAAACCCUAGUUCAUCUCUUGUGUUGAAUCUUUGUGUCAAAACUAUAGUUGGUGCUUGUGGGUGGCUAGUAGGGUUGAUUACAUCUUGUAGUUGAUUACUAUAUGAUUUAUUUGGUGGGAGAUUAUAUGUUCAGAUCCAUUAUGCUAUUUAAUACCCCUCUGAUCUUGAGCAUGUUUAUCAUUUGUGAGUAGUCACUUUCGUUCUUGAGGUCGCGGGAGAAAUCAUGUUGCAAGUAAUCAUGUGAACUUGAUAUGUGUUCGAUAUUUUGAUGGUAUGUAUGUUGCCAUUCUCUUAGUGGUGUCAUGUGAACGUCGACUACAUGACACUUCGCCAUAUUUGGGCCUAAGGGAAUGCAUUGUGGAGUAGUUAUUAGAUGGUGGGUUGCGAGAGUGACAGAAGCUUAAACCCCAAUUUAUGCACUAUUCCAUAAGGGACUGAUUGGAUCCAAAAUUUUAAUGCUAUGGUUAGAAUUUAUUCUUAAUACUUAUCUCGUAGUUGUGGAUGCUUGCGAGAGGGUUAAUCAUAAGUAGGAGGUUUGUUCAAGUAAGAAUAGCACCUAAGCACCGGUCCACCCACAUAUCAAAUUAUCAAAGUACCGAACACAAAUUAAGCCAACAUGAUGAAAGUAACUAGAUGAAAUUCCCGUGUACCCUCAAGAACACUUUGCUUAUCAUAAGAAACCAUUUUGGCCUGUCAUUUGCCUCAAAAGGAUUGGACUACCCUGCUGCACUUUUGUUACUACUAUUGUUACUUGCUCGUUACAAAUUAUCUUGCUAUCAAACUACUCUGCUACUUACAAUUUUAGCACUUGCAGACAUUACCUUGUUGAAAACCACUUGUCAUUUCCUUCUGCUCCUCGUUGGGUUUGACACUCUUACUUAUUGAAAAGUGCUACAAUUGACCCCAUACACUUGUGGGUCAUCAUGACUCCACCUCCGUUGGCGACCCCCAGUCUAGGCCCUUCUUGGUCCAUGGCACCAGCCUUGUGGGAGGUCCGAUAUGAAUUUUGAGGCUCCUGCACAGCUGGCGCCACGUGGUUCGGUGAUAUAAAACCUGUCUUUUUGCCAGAUUUUGAUGGUAUCUAUGAAGGUACCUUCCGGCCACUCGACCCGGGGGAGCUUGCUAAUCAUCGUCCCUCCAAACACUACAAAAAGAAGACACAACCGUGACAUUUUGGGUCGAACGAAAAAAAUUCUAUCAUACUUAUGACACUUCUAUGAUGAUAAUUGUGACAAAACCCGGUAUCAUCGUAGAUGUGGUGGGCUCCUACUUCUAUGACAAAAAAUCAUGAUAGAAAAUGGGCUUUUAGUCCUGGGCGGGCUACAGACGUAGCUGCAUGACAUUCUUUGGGCCGUCCAUGACGGAAAAAACUGUGGUAGAAGCGAGGGCGAGGAAAAUUUUGGGGAGUUCCCGGUUACGAUGGGUGGUCGGGGUCGAGCGAUGCGCGUUUCUCUCAUACACGUACGCGCGUGUGUGCGAGGCGUUGGGAUCUAACUGAACCCGAGCAAGGCGUCGCCUAACUGAAUCCGAGCGAUUGCACUACAGGCUACGCGUUACUGAACCCAAGUGAUCGACUGAUUCCUUCGCUACUGUUGCUAACUAAAGCCGAUCGAUGCUACCUCUGGAUGAACAGUGAGCGUUGCAGGGGGGUGGAUGAACAGUGAGCAGUGGGGUGGAUGACCAGGACCCCGUGGUGUUGCCUCUGGAUGAACAGGACCCCGAUCGAUCGAGCCGGUUGGGGCAGGAUGAACAGGACCCCGUGGAGGGCUGGAUGAACAAGACGACCCCGCGGAGGGUUGGAUGAACGGUAGUCGGUGGAGGGGUGGAUGAACAGUAGCCCGUGGAGGGGUGGUUGAACAGGAGCCCAUGGAGACGGGUGGUUGAACAGUAGCCGGUGGAGUAGCGCGCGGUGGAGGCUGAAUGAACAGGAGCCCGUGGAUGAACAGGAGCCCGUGGAGGCUGGAGGAGGUCGACGGUGGAUGAAUAGUAGCCCGUGGAGGCUGGAGGAGGUCGACGGUGGAGAUGAACAGUAUCCCGUGGAGUCCUGUUUUGCGGUACGCCACACCCCUCCCGAUGAACAGGACCCCCGUUUCGACCGUAGCGCUCCAACACAAGUCCAUUUCAUCCGUUUUGCGGUACGCCACACCCCUCCCGAUCAACAGGACCCCGUUUCGACCGUAGGAGGUCCAACACAAGUCCGUUUCCUCCGUUUUGCGGUACGCCAGACCCCUCCCGAUGAACAGGAUCCUGUUUCGAACGUGGCCGGUCGAACACAAGGCUGUUUCCUCUGUUCUGCGGUACGCCAGGCCUCGUUUCCAUCACCUGUUCCGUCCAAGCCCUCCCAAUGAACAUGAAGACACAUUCCAUUCUGACCCAGCCGGUUGGCUCCCCAUGAACACGAUGACAAUGAUGUUUCUCCGUUCCAACUCAGCCAUGUACACGAGCCCUGGCCGUACGUAUAUAUGCGCGAGUAGGCAUUCGAGACCCCACCCAUAUGUACAUACGUGACCGUAUUUUCUUUCGUGCACACUGGCUGCUGUAUGUACAUGUACAUGCUACGUGCACGCCUCUACUACGACACGUGCGCGCCUCUACGUACACAUUCGCGACCAGAAUGACAACGCUACGUACACUUCGACCAGGUGGGUCCUGACUGUCAGGAACUUCCUUUCGUGCGAAGAUGUAGAUGGUGGGUCCCAGGAGUCAGGGGGGCGAAUCGUUUUUUUAUUUUUUGCCCGGACGCACUUCCUUGCGUGUGAAGAUGUAGCUGGUGGGUCCCAGCAGUUAGGGGGGCGAAUUGUUUUUUUUUCGGACGCACUUCCUUGCGUGCGAAGAUGUAUCUGGUGGGUCCCAGCAGUCAGGGGGGAAACGUUUUUUUUUCACGAAAUACGGUGGCCCGUCCGGUGGGUCCCUGCUGUCAGGUGGAGGAAUCAUUAUUUUGCGCAUAAUAAGGAGGCAGUUCCUUGCUGCGGUCAUGGACCCAGCUGUCAGCCUCUCCACGUACAGUCCGCGUCCGAUGGAAGUCGUUCCUUGACCAUGUUGACCACGCCGUGCCGAGAGCACUAGGGCGGUGGAUGACGGUGAGUUCUAGGAAGGGGAAGACGCGACAGUGGAUGCCCACGCGUAGAGGAGUAUGAGGGUUCAUUGGUUCUGCUACGGUGUGAGGCUGUCGUCACCGCAGAAUAACAGGGGGUGUGGGUGAGUAGAGGGAUGGCCUGGCCAGCGGUGGGAGUAGUAGGGGGGCAUGAGGCCUCUGCGGCAUCAUAGCCGGCCCCGGGAGGCAAGAGCAUGCGGCACGACCAGCGCUGCUUUGGGCGGCUGGAGCAAGAAUACCAGAGGUUGAAGAAGCACUACAGCCGUUGGAUGGACACCGUACGGUCAUUGGAGUUAGAAUCGUUCAUAUUGACUAAAGUUGACAAAGGCCUCCAUACCAGUCAACUUAGUAGGCCCACAAGUCAGCCUCCCACCAAGGUGGGUCCCAGCUAGCACGGGGUAUUCAUUUUUUUGUGCGUAAUAAGGAGGCACUUCCGGUGGGUCCGAGCUGACAGCAGGGGGAACGUUUUUUUCGCGAAAUACAGUGGCCCGUCCGGUGGGUCCCAGCAGUCAGGGAGAAACGUUUUUUCGCGAAAUACUGGUGGCCCGUCCGGUGGGUCCCUGCUAUCAGGUGGAGGAAUAAUUAUUUUCCUCGUAAUAAGGAGGCACUUCCUUGCGGCUGCCGUGGACCCAGUUGUCAGCCUCUCCACGUACAGUACUCUUCCGAUGGAAGUCGAUCGUUGACCACAUUGACCACGCCGCGCCGAGAGCACCAGGGCGGUGGACGACGGCGAGGCCUAGGAAGGGGACUACGCGGAGCUGGGGAAGACACGGCAGCGGAAGCCCGCGCAGAGAGGAGUACAAGGGUUCACUAGUUCGGUUGCGGUGUGAGGCUGCCGGCACCGCAGAAUAACAGGGGGUGUGGGUGAGUAGAGGGAUGCCCUGGCCAGCGGUGGGAGUAGUACGGGACGCUGAGGCCUGUGCGACAUCACAGCCGGUCACGGGAGGUGGGAGCAGGCGGUCCCGCUGGCGCUGCUUUGGCGGCUGGAGCAAGAAGAUCAGAGAUUGAAGAAACACGACGGCCGUUUGAUUGACAUCCAACGGUUACAUGGGCUAGAAUCGUUUGUUGACGUAUAUAAUAACUAAAGAAAUCUUGCCUACGUGUCAACUUAAUAGGCCCACAAGUCAAACCACUCCCUCUUUUUUUUAAUAAUUUAUAUAUAGCUCAUUGCAACUUCUUAUGCAAUUUAUUGGAGUCAUUUUUUUGGUUGGCCAGGGCCAAUUUCGCAUAUUUCUGUGGGUUCCAAACUAUUUUUAAUACCAAAAUGUCGAGCCAGAUUUAAAGUACUUUGAAGAUAUAUUUAAAUUAGGUUAAUGCCCAGUGAAAUAGGAAUCUGAAAAUGUGAAAAAAAAAUCAGAAAUUAUAAAGUAAUUGCCAAUUUGUCAUCUGUUUUUAUAUUUACAACCCAUUUCAUAUUACUUUCAAGAUUUGCAGGCGUCUUGAAAGAGUUGCAGCCCAUCAGGGCAUAGAAAAAUAAGUAGGCCUGGAUUAGGUAUUCUUCAGAAAAAAUAAACUAGGCUCAUUUUCACAAAGAAAAAAUAGCUAGGCUAGUCACAUGGUGAACAUAAAAUAUAAGCCUGGGCUAGACGGGCCACAACCCAGUUCAAACCUUGCUCCGUCUCAAGAAUAACAAAAAAAAGUACUGCUCGAGCAGCUACGUCCCAGGUGUCAGCCGAUCUUGUGCUGUUCUCUUGUCUAUUGACUAUAUACGCUCACAAUGUCAUGGGUCCCAGAUGUUAGGAAAACACUAGGAGGAAGCAUUUUAUUUUUCCAUACGCUGACAUGGUGGGUCCCUACUGUCAUCCUCUCCACAUACUUCUGCCGAUUCCUGUUGUUUGUUAACCAUGUUGACAACACGAGAGGGCGGAGCCGCGGCGAGCGCACCAAAGUGCGUGGAGGACGUAGGUGUUAACGAUUUAGGAGACGGUGGGGCGGUGAUCGUGCGCUGAGGCGCAACUAGCCGUGGAAGGCGGAAGCAGGCGGCCCCGCCGGCGCUGGUUUGGUUUUGGCGGCUGGAGGAAGACAUGACUGAAGAAACACGACAGACUAUAAAAGCAGCAGGAGUACUUAACAACCUUAACUGAAACCAGCAGGGGCACUUAACAACCAAAGUUGAAAGCAGUAUGAGUACUUAUACAGGUUCAACUAUACAAAGCACGCCUCGAACAGUGCUACUUUGCCUACAGUUAACCAAGGGUGAGGCCGCCAAGCCCCAGGACAAGGCCCAGGUGCCACCCCGCACAUCCACAACCUUCUGAAAGCGGCUUCAUCUCGCAAUGUGGUCAAUAAACAGGAUAUUCGCUUUAGAGCCAUGGAAAAGCAUGAACAUAAUCUUCUGUCCUAUUCUCCAAGAUGGACGGGCCUUCAUUAUUUUAGACCACCCAUGAAUAAGUAUCUUUUCACCUCCAAGGGGAAUGGAGUAGGUCGACAUAAACAUCAUGUUGUGACCAAGGGCAAGUCUAGCCCGACCAUGGUCAGGCAUCUAUAUAGGAACAAUAGAACUGGGCAGUUUCUGUUUCAAGAAGAUCACAUCUGUAAAAUUGUGUAUAAGCAAUAGUUUAUGAACAACAUAUAUAACAGAAAAUAGCUCAUACCAUAAGUUUCUUGACACAGUUGGACCUGUUCAACGAGUGCAGCAGUGGCACACAUGUCCCACGUGGCCUUCCACCAUUGAAACGCCCCACAAGGACCUCAAGACGAUCAAUAAAGUGUAGGAACCUGUGGAUGUCGUCCCAGUCAACUUCAGUGCCAUCAGUAACAGCCAAGUUAUUACAGAAUAACAAACGAGCAGCCUGCUUAACUCUGAAAAAACCUACAUGUGCCACCAAUUAUAAGAAAAUAUUAGUUAGAAGUAGCAUCUUCAUGAGAGAUUCGUUGCUACUUCUAAAGUUAAAUUGUGAUUAGUUAGACAGAAUAGUUGGGUUAAGAAGUAAUCGAGGCUACAAGGAAGAACCAGAUACAAAACUAACAUGGAUGAAUAAUUGGAAUGACGUCGGGGUGGAAGAUCGCAGUGAAAAUGAGACCAGGUUCUGCUAUUUCCAUCAACAUUCAUGUGCCAACUUUAAGUCCGUAACACUUGAGAAAGUUUAUCCAAGUUCGGCCAUAAAAAAGCAGCGAUCUUCUUGGUUCAUGAACCCAACUCGGAACUUAUAUCCAUGGCUUGUCUUCAUUGUGACCAUUAAACUAGUGUAUUCAGUUAUGGCAAGGCCGAGCAUCUUGAGUACAUGUGUUCUGGCAGAGCAAACAAUGCACUGCAGGAAAAAUAAUAUGAGAACACAAUGUAUUCCCUAUCCAAAUCUAGAAAUAACUUCCUCCUUCACGUCAGUGUUGACCAUCGUACUUGUAGUACCUUUUAUCUAAAUAUAGCAAUCCAAAUUUCCAAAUUAGUCGACAACAUGUUCAAAAAAACCCCACCCUACCGGAUAGAAAAGAGGAUUCUAGGAACAUAUUGUGCGCGGUUUAAAAUACUGUGUUAGGAUGAGAAGGAAAAAGUGUGGCGUCUUGCCGGGGGCGCAGAAACCUGUAGGGUCCUCGCACUUUGGGCACUGCAAAUGAAACACACUAGAUUCAGUAGGAAGAAAAAUGCAUCAACGGCGGCGGCUGCCAUCCUAGGAUUACCUGCGACCAAGGGACAUGGAUUUAUUGGGGAUGGAUGAAGAAUUCGUACCUGGUUCUCCAUGAGAAAACCCUAUGCAAUCGCCGAGAGGGGGUUUUCUCUGAACAAGCAGACGAGGGAGAAGGGGAUUCAGGCCCAGUGAAAUAUUGUCGCUUCGUCCAUCCAGCUUACUGUUAAAGCUGGAAAGGGGGGUGUCUACCGUGCAGUUGUGCACUCUAAUUUGUGCAUAUGGCAUGUGGACCCCAUUGCCGGUUGCCCCACAUAUCAGCGAAAGGAAGUAGAAAGACAGGAGUAACUAGUUACAUAUAAAUAUAUUUUUGAUAGAGAGAUACUCCCUGUGUAAAGAAAUAUACAAAUCUUUUACAUCACAACUUUAUACAUAAGAAAAAUCAAGGGGAAUAUAUAUAUAACAUAUAUAAUUAUAAAAAAUAGAGUUGUUUUUAACACAGUAUAGACGAGUUGGUGAUGAUGGUGUGCCUGCCAUCCUGCAAUAUAGGCCGACCGAUUUAUAUCUAACGAAUAGGAAGGAAACUAUGGCAAUUUUGCAAAAAGGUACCCACACACCUCUCCACAUUUGCAAAUAAGGCCUUCCCACGUUCAUCCUUUUCUCUCACAAGAUAAAAUACUCAUAUAAAUGCAUCUUGAUGUUACGUGCAAUGCACGGGCAUUAUGGGGGUUCAGCUGAGAAUAUAAUACUCAGACAGGCUCAUGGUUCUGGACUUUGGGCCGCAGGCCCACCUUGCAUGUUUGGGGGCCCAUGUGUUCUACCUCAGCGCUUUUCAUGUUGCAAGCGAUCGGUACGGCGCUGGUUUUAGAUGAUGUCGCAAGGCGAAUACAUAAAAUUGAAUAAAGCACGGCAGCUGUUGGAAUGAAAUCGAACGACAGUUCCUAACCAGCAAUGAGAGUUGCAACUCUCUCAACGAUAUACCAUGUGAUAAAUAAUAUUGUCGUACUACUUAUACACAAAGGACACUUGUUUCACCAUGCCAGAUUAUUACAUCAAAAUCUCUCGGAGGAUAGAUCAGUUCGGCAGUUGUGUGCUGCUACUGAAAAAUUUCAAAGUUGAUUUGGACCAGCUCUCCUUGCCGAGAAAGUUAGAUUUUGACAUCAUCCCCUACCGCAAGAUAUGAUUUAGAUUUGAACCUUGACCAUCCUUUAGCAUCAAUCAUCAUGCGACCAUCCUUUGUACUUAUGGUAUAUUGAGCAGGUUCAUUCACACCAAGGCUGCACAUGGUAAGAGAUACUUGGCCGCGGUCGCCCGGAUUGUUGAACGACUCCCUCGUUGCUCUAGGAAUUCUCUAUUUGCAAACAAGAAGACAUACCCAAACAGUUAGAUCAAAACAGUGAAUCAUGUGAAACAACAUGGAAAGAAAAAAGAACAAAGCACUUGGGCGGCCAAUGCUUACCAAGAAGGUGGACAUGUCGGUUUUUGUAAGGACUUUGGUAUGUGAAGUGCGAACUGCAGCCCACUCUGUUGCCGGUGCAACUGCUCGUUUGGUUGCCGCUACAUGGGUCGGAGCAGAUGCAAGUACAAGUGUUGGUGCAGGUGCCGAAGCCACCGUUGCUGCAGGAGAUGGUCCUCCUUGUAGAGCUGGUGCCGGUGUCGGAGCAGGUGCUAGUGUCGAUGCCCGAUCCUCCGGUAGAUCAGACUGAUCCGCUGACGCGGUCGGUGCCCAAUCCUCAGCUGGAUCAGACUGAGUUGUUGCCGCUGUCAGUGCUAGAACAACUGCCGGUGCUCGAUCCGUUGCUGAAGGUGGUACCGAUGUGCGAGACAGCGGCAAUCGUGUCUGGUCUGCUAUGAUCAGCUUUCUAACUUGACUAGGAUCCGUGACCGUGAUCCAGUUUUUUUCUUCAUUUCUUUUAAACGCGAGAAGGACUAAUUGUAGCAUUUUUGUUAAACCAAACUGCAGUUCAUCAUAGGGAUUCAGCUUGUACUAAGACAACAGACUGAUCUAAUUUUUUCUAGUUAUAUAAGUGAUGGACAGUGCCUUCAUUACUGACACGACAUAAGAAGUGAAACCUACAAAAAAUAGCCAUCGUAGAGCAAACCAAACGGUUUAUUUUGUGAUGAAUGUCACAUGGCAAAACCUGCAUCGUAAAAUUGCAAGAAAAGAAAGAAAACAUGACAUUAAAUCAAUAAUAUUUAGACAGCAAAUCAAUAAGAUUUACUUGAUGUGACAUGAGUGAAUCCUUACCAGGAAAUCACUAUGUUGAAGUACUAAACAGAAGAUUGAUUGUCCAACUACGGGUGGCAUGCAGGGGCCCCGCCUACUCCCACAAGCAGGACAGUCCGAAGGUCGUGACAAAUCGUAUGGACCGAACAUCCAUGGGACUAGAAAUCCUAGUGGGUGCGAUAAACCCUGCAAUGCAUGCCAAUAUUGGAGUGUAACCAUAAUUGAUAAACCGUCCUCACAAAAAAGAUGAUCUGGAUACUUCAAAAUAUACAGACUGAAUUGAGUGGACAGACAUUAACAUAGACCGUUCUCAGGACUGACCACACACCAAAAGCGGCAGUACUAAUAAACAAUACAGGGUUCACAAACACAAAUCAAGUACUGAACAAUAGUACUUACUAAAGACAAGCAAAGUUGCACUAAUUAAACUCUGCAGACUAUUUCUUGCCACCAACCUAUGGGAUGAACCCCGCAUAACUGACUAGGCCAUGGACUUCGUGAGAGAUGUUUACAUGCACCAUCACCAUGUCAUCAACCUUGGAGAACCUAACAGAGUGGUCUUUCCACUCAUAAACAUGAUGAUGAAGAUAGGCUGCAUCAGAUUUGUUGGGAAGCUUUACAAGAACCACACCCUUCGUAAUCGAGGCACAACUAGGAAUUUUUUGUGGUCAAGUGUAGCCUCGAGAACACGCCUGACAACAAUGCUACAGGAAAACACUAGUCCAGGACACAUGGCGACAAGGACAUAGCAGCUGGAUAGUUUAGCAGUAGAACUCAUGCCCAGGUCUUCCAGUUCACACGGCAUGACUUUGAGAACUUCAUCUCCACCGCGGACCUGGUUCUAAUUCAAACAGAAACCAUAUUUUAUUACUACCUCUGUUCAGAAAUAUAAGAUGAUUUUCGAUAUUAUACUCCAUAUAUGACUACAUAUACGCACAGAAAUGAGUGAACAAAGACACUAGAACAUGUCUUCAAAGGCAUGAGAGCAGAGGGAUUACCUGCAGUAUCCAUAACACAAGUUACUGAGGCAAAUAUACCCUCUUCAAAGGUAGCAUUGAUGUUCAUAAAGUACUCCCUCCGUCCCAAAAUUAUUGUCUUAGAUUUGUCUAGAUACGGAUGUAUCAAGUCAUACAUACAUCCGUAUCUAGAAAAAUCUAAGACAAGAAAUUUGGGACAGAGGGAGUAGUUGAAAGUAAUCUAUAAGAAAUCAGUGUCAACCUCUCGCAUGUUUUGGUCAAAAGAGGAAUUUAGAACUGUCAUUUGGCACACUAAAAUCACAUGCAAGAUCACCCAGAAAGUUGUACUACCAGUACUAGUACUGCGUGUUAGAUGAAAAAACACGAUCAAGAUCGAGAAAAAGAUCGUCAACAAGAGACAUUACCUGGACUUGCCUAAUGAGGGAUCUCGGAGAGGGGGGCUUGGAUAGGGCGAUGGCUUUGAGCUUGUCUACGGUAGUCUCGGCGGGGUGCUUGCGCUUCUUUGUACCAUGAGCCUCGAUGGUUUUGGCCAGAGCCAUAGAAAUCACGUCGGCCGGUGCUCCAGUGUCCAUCCAAGAGAGGAAGCUAAGAGAGAAGAGUGAAAGGAGGAACGAGAUGAGGGAGAAGCGAAGCGAGUGGGGGUUUUCUUCAAGAGAGGAAGCUGAGACAGAAGAGUGAAAUGAUGGUUGCUUCGUCCGUCCAACUUACUGCUGGAAAGGAGGGGGUUUUGUGAUUUGAUGGCUCAUUGGGCAUUACUGCAGCGCUUCAAUCAGGGUAGUCUACCGUCACUCUACUACAGAGUAAUUUAGUGCAUGGCUGGUGGACCCAGGUGCUGGCUGUCCCACACGUCGGCAAAAGUGAGUAAUUUAGUACAUGGCUGAAGGAGGAUCUGCACGGUAGAGUGUGUCCACUAUUUUUCUGAAGAAAAAAAAAUGAUUGCAGCAAGCAUUUCCACUCUUACAACGGAGGAGUGCGAAACACUGCAGCCACUUGAACAUACACAAUGCUCCUACUACUAUUAUGUGCAGUGGUUCAUAUCUCAGUACUACAUAAUCUUCUUGCUAGUGUAGUAAGAUAUGACGAUAACAAAUGAUGUUGUGCGCAUGUCAACUAUAUGUAACAUAGUACCGCUUUUUCGACUGUCCGGUCGAGAAUCAACGGUGAGAUCAAUGUUAACAGAACUAGGCCUACAGUGCACGGAGAGUAUGGUGCUACAGUACUCCAUGAAACAUGAACCAUAUGAAGCACGAAUAGUGUUAGGCAGGGUGUAUGAAGGGUGCACGGGAUGGGAGCAAAAGUUCCCUUCUCGACCCACUUUUGGGUGUUUGGCAGAGUGCAUGAAGGGUGCAUGAGUCCACACUAGUAGGUUAACAAAAAUACAUGAAGAGGAAACAACUAUAUUGAGAUGAGAAUGCAAGCAUACACACCCACACGCUUUGUGCAACAGUGACUGAUCUGCACCGUCUGAGUUUGAUCCAAUGGUCAUGUUGCGCCGAGACAUGGACCCAUGCAGAGGGUGCCUAAACACCACCGAAGUCCCUCUGCUUCUCGAGGCGCACGACGUUGGUGAUGCAGGGUGCAACCGCCCGCAGAGCCCGCUCCCAGUCGAUGGGAGACAGCUCGUCAAAGACGGCGUCCAAUGGCACGAAUGGAUUCCGGUGACGGAGCCCUGAAAGGAUUCGCCCGGCAAUGGAGACGGCAGCCCGCAACCCCUCCUUGUCCAGCUCAGCCCCCACCAUCGCACGGAGAUGGCUCAGCUCCUCAGAGAUAUAGGUGAAGAAGGAGACCAGGUCAGGAAGCCGCAACUUGUUGAAGUCGACCGUGUGGUCGAACGGGUUUAGCACGACGGCCGGCAUCGUCGCGCUGGCACGACGGUAGGCAUCGCGCAGCCGCAACACGUGCGUGGCAACUUGGUUCACCAAGUGGCUGAGGCAAUCCUGGACCUCGUCACGAUUGGCCCGCUCGCGCUCCAGCUGGCUCCCCUGACUGCCUAUCGUAUCUCCCGCUUUCUGUAGCAACGCCGCUGAUGCCUCGAGCAUCUUUGUGGUGGAUGCCUGCCACUUUUGAAGCUUUGUGAACUCCCGCACAUAACGGAGAAGCAUGGCACUCUUCUCCUCCUUGAGCUCACGGAGCUCCACGUCCUUCGCCCUGAGCUCCGCAUCCUUGGCUUGGAGCUCCUGUGUCAGGCGCCUCACCUCAGACUCCGUGAUCUGCUGCGCCGCCAUGGCACCAGGUAGAAGCAGGUCCGUAGAAGCAAUGGGGAGAGCAAGCAAAGGGGGCGAAACGGCUGAAAGGCAAUGCAAUCUACGGGAAGGCGGAGGGAGUCAGCCGAGGAGCGGGGAAUCUUUUGGUUUUCACCAUGGUAAAACACUAGUCGACGACUUCUCACAUCAGGAAGCAGUGGGUUUUACAGGCGGAGUCAUCGUGACUAAUUGCUGCCGCGCCUGCUCCCAUCAAUCAAAAAAUUAAAAAUCUUGUCGCGCCUGCUCCCAUCAAUCAAAAAAUUAAAAAUCCUGCCGCACCCAAACACUAGAGCAAUGCCGCGGUGGAUAUCUAAAUUUACCUGCCAGCAAGUAGAUUAAAAAAGGGGUGAAAAAAAAUGUGGCGGCGGCCUAGCUAAUCGGUCGAACUAGCCCAACUAGCUAGCCACCGUGCUUCACUGAUGUACUCGGCGGGAAAGGUGGUCUUUCGUGAUUUGAUGACUCAUUUACUUGCUUCGGUGCGACGACCAAGGAGGACCCAGAAAAUGCGCGGUAGGGCAUCCCACAUCACGAAGAAUAUAUGCGUGCACCACCCGGGAGGACCCCGAAACCGCGCGGUAGGGUGUGCCAUGUCUCGGCACAGAGGAAAAAUGUGCGUGUAAAAAUAUACUGUAUCAGACGUAGUACAUAUGGUUUGACCUCGGGACCCAGCCAGUCGGUCGAAAACACCCCACUAGCCACACAGCUUCAUCAUGCAAAUGUGGCACGGAGGAUAGAUGUGGUUAGCUCCUUCUCGACCAGCCACAAUGUCUCUUGUUCUAGGCGAUUCUUCUAUUUUCCAAGCUUUUUUUAGUUGUAAUAACACCACAGCAAGCUAGCGCCACUCUUCGUGUGUGUCCGUGCAAAGGUUGGACGAUGGAGAGAAGAGAGAUUGAGAUCGCAGACCUGGGACCCACCAGUAAGUGAGUCAACGGUCAUGCACGUGUUGACGAGGCACUCCCUCUACCCUACUCAACGUAAUACUAUAUAAAAACAAGUUAUGGGACAAAGCCAACAACCGUUGUUGUUUCAGGCUAUCGACUUACACUUUGUAGUCCAGGUUGCCAGUUCAAAUCCCGUCUUUCAGAUUUGUUAGUUUUAGGUACAAAUUUGAUUAAUGACAAGUGGGACCCCCGUGUGUUGUUCCGAUAUUUCAGUGUAGGAUAGGUUUUUUGAACAAAUACUUUGCGCGGUUAGACAAGUAACGGCACGAGUUACACGUAUUUUACAAGUUUACGAACAAAAAUGAUAGCGGCAUAGAAUAUCACAUCCACCCCGUAGCUUAGAUGCUAUGGUGAUACGAGUUUUUACACCGUUGGAAGUGAGAUCCAAUGGCUUGGGAGUAGUCUUUGUAAUUAUGCGCAAGUUCCAAACUCUCCAAAGGUUUUUUUGCAAAUAAAACAUUCAGGCCAUGUGUGUGCCACUGCAUCUUCGAUCCAACGGCUCCCCGUUGCUCAUAGGUGCUCCCCAUAGCUUAAUUACCCGCUACAGUGAUAUGAGCAUCUAGGUCGUAUGAUCAGUGAUCAGAUGGCACAUGCGUAGUACUUGCACUUUCUGCGCAUUUCCAAACUCUCUCAGCCGUAUAUUGCAAAAACAUUCAAACCUCCUACUGUGGGCCGUUAGAUCUCAGUGAACUCAUAUCACCAUAGAAUCUAUGAUGCGGGAGCACCUCAUAUUCUCCCGUGCGAGAAAACAUAAGGUGCUAUCGCAGCUUGGAUGCUACAGUGAUACGAGCUUCGAGGUCGUUCGAUCUGAGAUCCAAUGGCAUCUCAGCAGUCUUUGUGCUUGUAAGCAGUGGCCGAACUCUUUUGGGGCUUUUCUGCAAUAAACCAUUCGAACCACCGAGGAGGUGUUGGGUCACAAAUCCAACGGCUCCGAAGAGCUUGUAUCACCAAAGCAUCUAAGGUGUGGUAGCACAUGAUAUUCUUACAUACAGGAGAAUAUGAUGUCCUCCUUCAUCUUAGAUGCUACGGUGAUACGAGAUUCGAGGUCGUUGGAUAUGGGAUCCAAGGGCAUCUGAGUAGUUUUUGUACAAAUUGUGUGCAAUUCUCAAACUCAUCAAUGUUUCCUGUAAAAAAAAUUAAGACACAUCAUGUGAGCUGCUAUAUCUCAGAUCUACAAGCUCCAAGCAACUCGUAUCGGCAUAUAGCAUCUAAGGUAUGGGGGCACGUGAUAUUUUCUUGGGGAGGAGGGGUGGGGGUGCACAACCAAUUGGUGGUUGGGAGGGUGGGGACAAAUAUAAUCUAAACAACCCUAAACAGAGCUCCACAAUUUUAUCUAAGGUCGAGGGGUUGACCCCCGACAAUCAUAGCUCCGCCUAAACACAACAUUUGCAUGUACUGUAGUACUAGACUUAAUAUUCAUGUUUCAGUUUCAUGUUUAUUUGAAAUAUUGAACGGAGGACCAUGAAUGUCUUACAUUUUACUUCCUUUUUUUCCUAAAUAUUAGUCUCUUUAGACAUUUCAAAUGGACUGGCACAUACUGAUGUAUAUAGACAUAUUUUAGAGUCUAGAUUCACUCAUUUUGCUCUGUAUGUAGUCAAUUGUUGAACUCUUUAAAAGACUAAUAUUUAGGAAUAGAAGGAGUAUUUUUGAAUUCAUGUCAUACAUGCAUGGUUUGAAAAAAUAGAUGCACUAUACUUAUUGGAUUGUUGUUGUGUUCAUGCGUGUGUGUCUUUGUGUGUGUGUGUGUGUGUGGUCAUAUACUUUAUACAUACAAAGUUUUCUCAUCUCCAUAUUUUUCAUCUUUUAAAUUUGAAUUUGCAUUGGAAAACUUACUAGGGAUACCAUGAAAUGUGAAAUCCACGUAGAGAUCACUAUAUCACAAACUCACUCUAAUUCAACAACUCGUCAUAAAUCAAUUACCAUGUUGAGAUUAGUAUUUGCAAGGAAAAUACGGGCAUUGUAAUACACAUAGAUUUGUUCAGCAAUUUAAAAGGUUCUUUCCGUAUUCUCGAAUGGUAGGACCCAACGGCGUACUAGCCAGACCUUGGCUCUUGUUGAUCCUAAAAAAAUAAUAAUAAAAAAAACCGGGCUCGUGUCUUUCGGUGGCGUGCAUGGUACGCACAUUAGGCAACCCUAACCAGCCGAGCCUCAGCGUUUCAAGUCAAAAUAUCUGGCGGCCAGAAUUCCAGCCCUAGGAAAUUCCCCUCAUGUCCCCGGUCCAUAAUGACUACCGAUGAACAACAAAAGGAUGCUUUAGUAACUAGACAACGUUAGCUACCGUGCCGAGCACGGUUCAAUUCCCUCGGUCGCCGCUCGUCAAGGUCACCCGUCAACUGCAUUGCCUAGUACUACUACUACUACACCAGGAUGAGCAUAGAAUUGAGCCCAUUUGUUCGUGCCUAGUACUUGAGUUAAUAUAUCAGGUAAUGGACUGGUACGGAGGGAUUAUCCUUUUACUCUGCAUAUAUAACUUGUCUGAAGUCUAACUAAGCAAAAUGGUUGACCAAAUCCUUUCUUAAGAAAUACAACAGGACAAAUGUAUGGCUUGAAAUUUAUUGCAUGAUGCAGGUUAUGAUAUUGUUUCGAAUCCUGGAUCUUAAAUUUCAGAAAAUCCAAAAGUGGGCAUAAAUUCUUGAAACUGAGCAUGGUCACGUGAUAUGGCACAAAUAUUACUUCGUAAGUUUUUCUUCAAUUUGAGACAAGCUGCUUAUGACAAGUUGCACAAAUGAAGAGCAAAGGUAUUUUGGAACAAAGACCUGUCACAUUAAGGCGAACGCUUUCACUAUUGAAACCAUGGGCGUUUACGUGCCGCCACGAGUCCCCGCUUCUCAUCGGCAGGUGUCGUCCGAGCAAGCAUGUGAGUCGACAAGAGGCGUGCGAGAAGACCGCUACGCCUGCUGACAGGGAGGCAUGCGAGCAGACACUGCGCCGGCUGACAGGGAGGCAUGCAAGCAGACCACUGUGCAGGCUCACCGGGAGGCGAGCCCUUUGACCAGGCUCCGCUGCCCACCUUCGUCCCAACUGCUCCCACUUUUAAUGUCGCUAGUGCCGCAGUUUAAAAUCAACCCCGCAUUACCCGGUAUCGCUACAAUCUUCUCUCUUCCUCUCUGAUUCUCCUGUCGUCUACCUCCAACUAGCCUGACCUAAACGUACGCCAUGCCGCAUCACGAUGGUCUGCCCUUAGUCUUCCAGUUUCUUGAGGAAGACACCCAGCCGGAGUCUCAAGAACAUAAGGCGCUUUGGGACGAGCUUGAACUGGCCUUGCGGGAAGACACCGCGCCUGUCCCAGCUCCCGUUCCGGCUCCCGUCGCCCCGACUUCGCCAGCACCCAUCCCCGUGGCAUUGAUGGGAUGGGAGGUGCACAUUGUCGCCUAGCUUGAUCCCACGGGGUUCCACGAGGUCCCCGCCGAUUUUUCACGCGCCCGUGCACCUGCCAGCGCAUGCGCUUGCGCGUGCACUGACGUGCACGCCUGUGCCGGUGCCCGUGCACCUGCCAGCGCAAGCGCUUGCGCGUGCACUGACGUGCGCGCCCGUGCCGGUGCCCGUGCAUACGAAUGUCUCCCCCGUGCCAUUGACAGCGCCUGUCCCCGCGCGGGUGCCAGUGCCCCCCUCAGCGGCAUGGAUGGCCGCAGUCGACCGCUUCCUUGCACCAACGCGACUCGCCUCCUCCUGCCAGUUGACUUGCUCUGAAGUCCAGAACAUUUUGGCCUUCCUUGAAGCUAGGCCAACAUCCAGGAGUACGCCAACAAUGGCGCAAGACGCCGCCGUCGCCGUCGGUCAGUGGCCCGACGACACAUAGAGCACGGCAGAGGAGCCGCUUCCCACCGCAAGACGCCCCCACCGCCGCCGUGUAAUCUAAAUUUGCCAUGAAAAACGUUCGGAUUGCCAUACUUAAAAUCCGAACGUUUAUCUUUUCCGUUUAUUUUAUAUUGAUCAUCGUAUAAUUUAAAGUCGGAGUCAGACUGCACGAAAUCUAUGGUUUGAUCGAUUGAAUGUUUCGCUAGAGCCGUAUCAAAUUAAAUAUAAAACGUCAUCAAGCCACAUGUAUUCCUUGUCAUCCAACAACCUAGACUGCUUCAAUGUCGAGCGCUCAACACGUUUAUCGUGCAGUUAAUUUCAUGCCAAAAAUAGUGCUAAUCACAUAAUAACACGCAUAUAAUAUCCUACUUAAUAUCCGCAUGCACUUAAUAUACUUCCAAAUUAACGUGCAUUGCACGUACACACUGACUAGUGUUGCUAGUACGUGAAACUGGUGCCGUAACUUGUGAACACGUCCAGAUAUGGUCAACGGCAACAUCGCCCGCGAGUUCUUCAUGUUUGCCCGUGCGUCUAAACGCAGAAGGGGAGGAGAGAGAGAGCACACAUGGAACCCACCAGUAAGUGAAGGCGAAUAGUACUAAAAUAAUAUUACAUGUUAUCCAUUAAAUAGGCUGUGGUAAUAUAAAAACAUUAUCUGAACAAAGGGGAGUACAACAAACAUUGUUGUUCUAUGUAUGUUGCCUAUUGACGUGCGGCUUGAAGGCCCUGGUCGCAUGUUCAAUCUUCAUCCUUUAAUAAUUAAUUUGUAUAUGGGUCCAAAUUUGUUUCAUGACAUGUGGGCCCCUCGGUGUGUAGUUUGUGGCACUUUAAUUUGUGGGUCGAAAUUUGUUCCAUUCCAAGUGGACUAUCAGUGUGUAGUUUUGUAGCUUAUUUAUAAUAAUUAAAGAGAACAAUAGAGUUUUUGCAAUAAUACCAUGGUGCAAAACUGAUGGUGAGAAAGGACAUGCGAGAGAGCGAUGACCGAGCCAGAGGGAAAUCAACUAGGGGAGUUGCGGGGGUUGCAACGGUGUUUGGAGUAGUUGUGGGCUGAAUGCUACGAAAAUAUAAUCUAAACCGACCGGAAUAAAUGCCUACACAAAUUAAUCCAAGGUUGGAGUGCCCCUCGCAAUGUAAAAAACCGCUGCUUUGCGAGGGAUGGAGAGGUAGCUUCAAUGCGUGGAAGAUACGGUGUGAGAAAGAGAGGUCAAUAGAGAGACAUAUAGAUAGAGAGACAAAGUGAGUCUGCACUACAAAAAAAAUACACUUCCAUGAUGAUACGUGUUUGUCACAGUAGGUCGCGUUUUUUGUCAUGCAUGUACAUCCAUGAUGAUUUUAUGACAGAAUCAAGAUAGUCAUACCUGUGAUGUCGUAGAAGUGUUCCAUGACAUUACCAAAAUUAUUAUCACGGAAGUGUCCACUUCCAUGACGAUAAAUCACGCGUCACAGAAGUGCUUUCGUCAAGGGUGACCGACACAUGGCAUCCACCGUAACGGAACGCUGUUAAGCUAUCGGGUCGGGUUUUGGAUCCGAUAACCCGUUAACAGCCCCGACCAAUGGGGAUUUUCCACGUGUAAAAUCAUCAUUGGCUGGAGGAAACACGUGUCGGCUCAUCAUUGGGACAGAUGUCAUCCACUCACUAGACAGAAGGCGCCUAUGAUACGUCGACACGUGGCACGGCCCAAUAGUGGCCCAUUCCUGUGAAAAGGCCGGCCCGUUUGACUUGGUCAAAAGCUGGCGGGUCGGCCCAUGGAAAGCAUGUUAUCGACCUGUUAGCAUAUAGCCCAUUUACAGCCUGCUAACCCAAGGCCCGUUACGCCCUAUGCGAAUUAGGCCCAGUAGCGUCAUCUGGGCCAUCCAAUAUGAUUCCAGCCUGUUUUCAUUUCUUGCCCAUGUAUAGCCCAUGACGUCUUUCGGCCCAUAUGAGGCCCUUUGUAACUCUUGGCCCAUUAGCGGCCCAUGCUGAAACUGGCCCGUAAUGAACAGUGUAUUACUUUACACCCAUUAAUGGCCCGCGGUGAAACUGACCCGUAAAGAACAGUGUAACACUUUAUACCCAUUAACGGGCCGUUAUUCCGUUGGGCCGUUUCCAGCCCAUGUUAACUUUCGGCCUUCUGAGGGGCCAUUUAUUCUUGGGCUCAUUUGCAGCAUUCGGUUGCUUAUGGUCCGUUACUGUCAUUUUCUGCUUGUGGGCCAAAUUCAGCCCGUCGUUACAAGUUGGCCCGUUUGUGGACCGUUAGUUUGUUGGGCCAUUUUCAUAGCAUCACCAAAUACGGCCUAUUAACGGCCCGUUAUGGUCAGCGCAUAAAACGUACAGUUUCCAUUAAAUGCCCGUCUACGGCCCAUUAAAGGCCCGUACAAGACCCAUAAAUGAGUCGGCGGCCCAUGGAUCCUACGAGACGUAGAAGGCCCAUGGAUCCUAUGAGACGUAGAAGGCCCAUGGAUCCUACGAGACGUAGAAGGCCCAUGGAUCCUACGAGACGUAGAAGGCCCAUGGAUCCGAUGGCCCGUACAUGGCCCAUGGAUUCGACGGCCCGUGAAGGGCCAUGGUCGGGCGAGUUGGCCCCCGUUUGAACCAUAUAGCAUAUUCAAAGAAUUAUCCUACUCAAUACUAUCACCUCUAAAAAGCAUACACUAUACAACAAAGAGAUCAAGGCAUAGAAAGGUAGAAUAAUCCUACACUAUACAAUAAAGAAAUUACAGCCGAUUAUACCCACUGGGCAUUAUGGUUCGGCAUAGGUGAUAAUAAAGCAUACACAAACAGCAAAUUACAUACACUAGGCAAAUACAACUCAUACAUCAUGGACGCGCAUCCACUUAACUCCAUUUGAACUAUAAUCUCUUCAGGAAAUAGGAUUGGCCGGAUUCAGAUAGCACAAAUUUCAGUCUGCAAAAUCUCCAAUUCCUUCAUGGUUACCUCGAUGUCUUGUUUCAUUUUUUGACUCCUGCAUCUAAUACCUGCAUGUCCAGUCUCAACUUAUUGAUUAUACGUUGACAAUCAUGUACACGUUGUCUUGCCACCUCUAGUUGAUGAUCGAGAACAUCAGCACAUUCCAAUUCCAAUCCAUAAUCAUUUGGUAACGGCCAUGCCGCACUGCUCGCAGAUUUUUGUGUUGAUGUCACUUCAUCCUGAAAUGUUUCUGUAAGUACACAUGACUAGGGCAAAAAUAUAGUUACAACAGUGAAGCGAACAAGACACUAUUUUGUACUACAUGGCAAAACAGGACUAUCAAUAAUGUUACACGUCACUUUCACACAAAAAAUGUUACACGUCAUGAAGCAUAAGCAGGUGAUAUUUUAAAAAUUAUGAAAAAGAUAGUCUGUGCGGCCUGCAUAUAGAAAUCCCUCUUAGCUCAUCAGAGGAGCAUGAUGUUGGGGCCCAAUCGAAAACACAGACAAGUUACAAAUUUAGACAGCACAUUGCGUAUAAGUAAGCAAGCAGUUGGCCAUUCUAUACCUCAAUUAAAGUCUUAGGGAGCAUAAUGAACAGCAGAGGGUUUCAUACGAACAUACUACAGCAGGCAAAACUAUGCAAUCAUUAGCGUAGUAUAAAUUAGAUUGUGAGCCUCAUGCAAUAAUAGUUGGUUAAUAGACUUCAAAGCUUCAGGCACACUUCGGCAGAGUAAUUAAAUGGUAAGGCCUUUAAUUAUGUAAACUAAUAGUGAUACAAGUACCGAACAUCAGGCAUGAUUAUCUUGGCAUCUCAUUAAUUGAGGACAAAUAAAGCAAUUGAAAAGAGAAAAUUAACUAUGCCUGAAACAAACAAGGAAUUGAACUGUUGAGUUGCAUACAGUGACUUACCUUAGCAGGUUGAAGAGGCUCAGCGCAGCUCCUACUUCUCUUGCAAGGCUCCAUCCUAACAUAUUGUACUUGGAAAUCCUCAAUCUUAUCUUCAUUGCACCUCCUCUGCAAGGUGACACAAACUAGUUACUCGUCUCCUUGGAAGAUAAAUAUGCAUAUUUUCCAGUCUAUGAACACAAAAGGAUGAGAUUAUAACAAAACAACACCACAUAAUGAAACAUGCCGCAUCUCUUGCACUUGCACACAAUGAAAUGAGCAUUUACUAUGUCUGCACUAUGUAAAAACUAGGCAUACCUUCGAACUGGAUCUCCAGGUACUCUUGGAGAGCCUACUGUAGUGUACAGCCAAACCUUUAUGUCACCUAUGAGUUAGACAAGGCCCCACUACAGCAUCCCUUAGUGUUUAAAUCGUUGACAAGCUCUGUUAGAGUGUUAGGUCAAGAACAGCAAGUAAUCAAAGCAAACAGUCCUAGUAUGGCUGGCUAAUGCAAACAAGCAAUUGAAUAGAUGUGUGAGCAAAUCUUACAUAUCAAGAAAAGAAGCAAAGAAGGAGGCUUAAAGACCAUCACUUGACUGACCAGAUUUAAGGGGCAUUUAAACAUCAUGUGCAACGUAUGAACUAACAUAAACAUUGCAUAUUCCAGAUUCUACAAUGGAAUGCACAUGUAUUAGGUUAUGCCAUGUAUGAUGAUGCCUAAAUGUACAGAUAGCAGGCAGGAGUGAUUCAUCAUUGCACACACAAUUGAAUUGUAGGUUAAGGGCCAGUUCGAUUCCGCCUUUUCAGGGCAUAUUGUCAAAAUAAGCCAUAAAAGAUGUAAAGAAGUCAUUUUUGAGUUAUGGGCUUGGGCUUAACUAAUUUUGCUUUGGAAGGGGGUGUUUCGGGUAGAACCUCACUAAAAAUUAAAGGGAAGGGGAAUAGUGAAAUGACUCUGUUGUUUGCCUAUAUUACACUCAAAAUGCAACUGCUGACGCCCGUGUCACACCUGACCCUCAAGUAAAAACAAACACGCAAGCAUUCAUUGCCCUGCCCGCUUGCAUCUCCUCUCCCCUUUCCCUCUACCUCGAUCCCCUACCUGCAGCACUAGGGUUCCUCCAGCGAGCCAUUGCCACUGGUCGCAUCUGGCCUGGUCCUCGACGAUGCUAUGUACAGCUAGGCUACAUGGCCGGUGGGUAGGGGCAAAUCUCCCUGGCAUCUCCUCCCUCUGGCGCCGCCCCUCAUUCUCAUGGUCUCCAGCAGCUGCUCCACUAUGGUUCGUCCAACGCACUACUCCGACGGGUGCUACACAACUAUGGCUGAUGCCACACUGCGGCAGAAGGCACCUUAUUCCCCCUCCCCUCCUCCCAGGCCAUGGCCUUGAGGUGCUGUUGAAGGAUGAGCUCAUCCAACAAGGUGAGGAUCUCCUCUGAUUUUUUUGCCAAAUUUUCAUUCUGAUCCACUAUACGAUGAAUUGCUAUGAGCUGCUUCUGCUGCUGCUAUAUGAUGCAUUGCUAUGAGCUGCUCCUGCUGCUGCUAUAUGAUGAAUUGCUAUGAGCUGCUGCUGCUGUAUGAUGAGUUGCUAUGAGCUGCUGCUGCUGCUAUAUGAUGAAUUGCUAUGAGCUACUGCUGCUGCUGCUAUAUGANNNNNNNNNNNNNNNNNNNNNNNNNNNNNNNNNNNNNNNNNNNNNNNNNNNNNNNNNNNNNNNNNNNNNNNNNNNNNNNNNNNNNNNNNNNNNNNNNNNNNNNNNNNNNNNNNNNNNNNNNNNNNNNNNNNNNNNNNNNNNNNNNNNNNNNNNNNNNNNNNNNNNNNNNNNNNNNNNNNNNNNNNNNNNNNNNNNNNNNNNAUUGCUAUGAGCUGCUCCUGCUGCUGCUAUAUGAUGAAUUGCUAUGAGAUGCUCCUCCUGCUGCUAUAUGAUGAAUUGCUAUGAGCUGCUGCUGGUAUAUGAUGAAUUGCAGACUACUGCUGCUCUAUGAUGAGUUGCUAUGAGCUGCUGCUGCUGCUAUAUGAUGCUUUCAGGUGGUGCUGCUAUAUGAUAAUAACCAGCCACUUGGACCAUCGAAUUUCAAUAAAUAAUUGUUCUUCAUUUAAAUGUGGGUCAUGCAUUCUCGUUUAAAUUAGGCAAUGGGAUCUCUAUGGAAAACAUUGACCAAAGUAGAUUGUGCCAAGUAGAUGGUAUCUUUGUAUUUGCAUUUUGAGCAAAUAGUGAUGGUAUGUUUUCCUAUCAUAUUAAUUACUGCACUGGAUUCAAUUUGUGAUGUUUGCAAGUCAAAUUAAUUUCCAUAUGGGCAGCAAAAUGAAAAAUAUAUAAUGCAAUCUAGACUUUCCACUGAGCAUACCAAGAUAAGCUGAAAACGCAAUGAAAAGAACUGGUUGGCUUAUUACAUGGAGCUUAUAUUCACAGGUGCUUAUUUUCAUAGGAUAACUCGUAAUAAAUAUCCCUAAGAAACUUGGCUAAUAGAACUGGCAUACAAAUAACAUGUCACGAUGAUUGCAAUGGAGGAGUGACGUACCAUAGCACACUGUAUAGGCUCACCGCUGCCUCUCCUUUUUUUGCGAUGUUCCAUGAAAUUGCCACAUACAUCUUGUACUUUUUCAUUGUGUAACCCUAUCUGCGAGUUGACACGGCUAAUUUCAGACAUCUCUACAUGAUACUGCAUUGCAUAUCCCUUGCACAUAUUUAAACCACCAAUUAACGAUUGUGUGCGUACCAUAAACUAGCCAUGACUCUGUAUGCUAGACUAGUAGGCACUCUAAGGGAGCCUAAUGUAGUGCACUGGAAUUCCUACAUGCCACCUACGAUUUUGUGUAAUGUACUGCCCCUGUUCCUAAAUAUAUGUCUUUGUAGAGAUUCCAGUAUGGACCACAUAUAGAAGUAUAUAGAUGCAUUUUCAAGUGUAGAUUCACUCAUUUUGCUCCACAUGUAGCCUAUAGUGGAAUCUCUAGAAAGACUUAUAUUUAGGAACGGAGGUACGAGGUAGUAUCAUGUAUGACAUCUACAUAUCUAAUUUAGCAGCCAAUAGUAGAAAUCAUUGUCUGCACAAAGGGAUUACUGGUCGAAAAUCCUAGCAAAGCACGCUGGCAGGCACAGAACAAUACAAGAGAGAGAGAGACGCGCUUACAAGAUCAUAGCAAUGCCUCAGUCCAGGAUCUUGGUUGGCCAUGCUGUUAGAUCCAGAAGAAACAUCGUCCUUGUAGUUUUUGCCAGCUGCAUAACAGGUAACAGCGACCGGUUAGUAUAUUUGAAGUACAUCGGGCAGGUGAUGCUGGACGGGUUUAAAGGUGACAAGUACCUAGGCCGUGGCGGGUGCUUGGCAUCUCUCUAGACAGUGGGAAUCAGGUUAGAAAUGUCGAGGGUGAUGAUGCUGCGCUAGCUGUCGGGGUCCGGUAAGGAGAUCUAGAACCGUCGAGUAGGGUGUUUGUGGAGCGGCUCUGGUAGGGUGGACUAUGGUGUGGGCGAAGCGGAUCUGUGGCCGUGGACGAGGGUGUAGGUGAAGCUGCUCCGGUGGUUGGGUUAAGGAUGGUGUCGACGACGCGGAUUUGCGACCGUGGAAGGGGCGUCAGAAGCUUCUCCGGUGGUUGGGUUAAGGAUGGUGUCGACGAUGCGGAUCUGCGGCCGUGGACGGGGCGUCAGAAGCUGCUCCGGUGGUUGGGUUCAGGGUGUUGUCGAUGAUGCGGAUCUGCGGCCGUGGACGGGGCGUCAGAAGCUGCUCCGGUAGGUUGGAUGAGGGUGCGAGGAAGCGGAUCUGAGGCCGUGGACUUGUGAGUUGGCAAAGCAGCCCCGGUAGGGUUGAGAAUGGUAUAGGCGAAGCUACUCCGGUAGGGCUAACGAUGGUGUCGGUGAAGCGGCUCCGGUAGGGUUGAGGAAGGUGUCGGCGAAGAGGAUCAGAGGCCGCUGACGGGGGCGUCGGUGGGGCGGCUCCGGGGUGUGUGGACAAAGCGUCUCCGGUGGGGAGUACGAAUGAGCCGCUGCAGAUGUGCGGCGGUUGACGAGAGUACCGGCGAAGCAGAUCCGGCACCAUGGACAAGGCCGGCACUGAAUGGGCUGUGGUACAGUGGUGGAUGAGCAGUCUACUUGUUUCUAGGGGAGGUGGGAGGGGUAGAUGCGGCCGCAGAAGCAGAUCCGGCGAGGUGGACUCCGUUGGCAGUGAAUGGGCUAUGGUACGCCGGUGGAUGAGUAGUCUAGGGUUUCGAGAGGGGAGGGGAGAAAGGGCGAUGAAGUACGGAUGGCGUGAUGUAAGAUGCUCUGGUGUUGUGGAGUUAGUUGUUUUUGCGGGAUGGGGAGAGGAAAUGGGGAUGCCGUGUAGUGGGGGAACCAGAAGUUACCAAAGCAGCCCCGACCUACCAUGUAGAUGAGGGCGGUAUUGUAACUAUUGGUCUCCGUGCACCAAGGACAAAAGGGGGAUUUCGCAUGCUAAAGACUAAGGUGGUGGAAAUUUUAGAAGGAGGCAGGAGAUUUUUCUGCCCGCGGGAUCAUUCGUAUCCAGUUUCAACUAAUAUUGGACCGUGCUAGCGGGAAGGUCAUGCUAGACUUUGUACAUGGGGCACGCGUCAGCAGUUCAUAACUGGUGUGAAGUCCACCCCAGAAAAAAGACAAUAACUCGGGAUGAUGCGCCAAUAACUUGGACGUUCACACGGGCGCGGCCAAUCGUACGGGUGUAGUGGCGCGUUCACAAAAAAGGGAUCAAACGCUCAGCCUAUGUAUUUCUCGUGUAGAUAGAUAAUUUAGUGCCAUUGGUUAUUUACUUUAAACAUAAUGCAUUGACAUGUUAGUGUAGAGGCGCACAAAAAGAAAUGGAUAUUGUAGUCAGCUACUUAAAAGUGUUACCUCAUAUGAUUACAUAGCCACCAUUUCAUAAAUUGCGUACCCAUUGAAUUCAUAUAUGAAUAUUACAUAUAUUACUUCAAAAUAGAAACUUAAAUCAUCCAAGACUAAUGAAUUUAAAUGCAAGAGUAACAAUGGUGCAUGUACAUGAUAGCUACAUUGGUUGUUUUGAAGAAACAUCACUGUAACUUUGGCAUGCACAACUGAAAAGGUUUAUUUAAAUAGAAAAAAAUGUGAUAUGUGAGUGUCCAAUCUUUAUAGCGUUGAAUCGAUAUUGUACCUUUGGCCACGAUACGAAGUAGAUAUUGACUUAUGUUCAAGCGAUGCACGUCCACGAUCGCUAGAUAGUGAUACGUGAAUGAAUUGUGCAAUCUCUCUCACACGCAUACAUAUCUCAUUUCCAUGUGGGCAUCGGAAUCACACACGCGCACUUUGUGUAUUUCUCUCCCUCCGUCAGGGUUAAAUUCGUCUUUCUACCCCGUCCUACAAGUCUCUCACACAGAAACACACAUGCUCUCUAUGUCUAACAUGCCCACCCCUUUAAUUCCGCCCACCCACAGCCACUAAUGUCUCAAAGUAUAAUAAUGUCUCUCACACAUAUGCUAUCUACCUAUCCCUUAAUAUAGCUAGAUAUGUGUCACACAAACUCCUUCUGCCUACUAGCAAGAUGCCCAUGCGUUGCACGGAACAUCAAGAUGCAUUUGUAUGAGAAGUUUAUCUUGUGGGAGAAAAGGAUGAACGAGGGAAUGCCUUAUUUGCAAAUGCGGAGAGGGGUGUGGGUAUCUUUUUGCAAAAUUGCCAUAUUUUCCUUCCUGACCGUUGGAUAUAAAUCGGAUGGCCUAUAUUGCAGGAUGGCAGGAACACCAUCAUCACCAACUCUAUUUUUUAUAAGAGUAGAGAUAUGUGAGUGUCACUACCCCCCCCACACACCCACACUUCCCAACACUGAAGGAGUAGGGUGACACCUCGAUCUUGAUACUAAUCUAUCAACUAGCUUCUCUCUCAAACAUACACACACACACACUACCCGGCACCAAAGGAGUAGGGUGACACCUCGAUCUUGAUACUAAUCUAUCGACUGGCUUCUCUCUCAAACAUACACACACACACACACACUACCCAGCGCCGAAGGAGUAGGGUGGCACAUAGAUCUUGAUAAUAAUCUAUCUACUCCUCUUUCAAACACACACACACACACACAGACACACACACACACACUCGCUAGUUGUGCCUCUGUGCCUACCGCGCACACUCUCGAUACGUCUUUCUCUCCCUUCCCCCCCAACAAUGACAGCAGAAGGGUGACAACUCGAUCUGAUCAUAAUCUGUUAAUUGGUUUCUCUCUCAAACAUUGUGUCUCAGUGCCUCGCUCGGUAGCCCCCUCGAUAUGUAGACUUCUCGCGCGCGCACAGCUGUAGUGACGAUGACGCUGAACCCAGUGUGCCUUGUUUUUACCGGCCUCAGGUGAUAGUUUUCACCCUGUUUUCUGUUAAUUAACAAGGCAACCUUUUCUUUGUUACUACUAGUGAAUCUGAAAUCAUUCAGGGCAGACAUAAAAUAUAUCACUUCAACCCAAUUAUUGCAGCAACUAUUUAAAGGAAAUUAGCUAGCUGCCCGUGCGUUGUAUGGAACAUCAAGAUGCAUUUGUAUGAGUAGUUUAUCUUGUGAAAGAAAAGGCUGAAUGAGGGAAGACCUUAUUUGUGAACGUGGAGAGACGUGUGGGUAUAUUUUUGCAAAAUUGCCAUAGUUUCUUUCCUAUCCGUUAGAUAUAAAUCCGACGGCCUACAUUGCAGGAUGGCACACACACCAUCAUCACCAACUCUGUUUUCUACUCCCUCCGUCCAAAAAUACUUGUCAUCAAAAUGGAUAAAAAGAGAUGUAUCUAAAACUAAAAUACGUCUAAAUACAUUUCCUUUUAUCCAUUUUGAUGACUAGUAUUUCCGGACGGAGGGAGUAUUUGCCUUUUAGAGAUUUCAACAAGUAACUAUGACCGGGCCUUACCAACAUACUCAAAAAAGUAGUCCAUAAUUUUGAUGUUACCCUCUUUUCUUGACGGUGCAGUGCCAUCUGGAUACCUCAUAAAUAAAUCAAGGACAAAUCUGACCCCUUCCUGGAAAGACAUACAUAGCAAAAUGAGUGAAUCUACACUCCAAAAUAUGUCUACAUACACAUCCGUAUGUGGUAGUCCAUUUGAAAUCUGAAAAAGACAAAUAUUUAGGAACGAAUGGAGUAUAUAUAAGAGUAGACAUGGAGAUAUAUCUCCAGCAUGGUCUACAACAAAAAUGUGCUGGGCUGGUUAGCGUCGGAUGCUCGCAACGCGAUGACAUGAGUUCGAAUUCUGUCUUUUAACUUUAGAUUUUUAUAUUAUAUAUUACUCUACUUAUUUAAUAUAUACUUCUUUCGCUACUGUACUGACAGUGGAACCCACAGAGUACUUAGAAUAUUAAGGAUGGACUUGUUUCUUUUUAACUUUCUGUACAAAGCUGUAGCCACCCUGCAAGUCACGUGUACACUGUACAUGCAAUUAACUUUUUAUAGAGAGACAAUCAUACAGGCAAUUAACUCAAAUGGAUUGGAUGGCACUCUAUUAUUUCCAGCAUAAAGAGCAUCUCCAACGGCAGCCGGCAAAUUUUCUCCCGCUUCCUUCCGCGGAGGAUGACAUCAAACGCCAGCGGCAUACAUUUUUACAACUCUAACCAACCAGAUGAAAUUCGUGCAAACACAGACUAAUUUCAUAUAAGCAUGAAGGAUUUCAUAUAAAAAAAGCCGGAUCUUCAUAUAAACAUGAUGGAUUUCAUUACAUUUACAUGAACUAAGAGGUGCCAAUCCGGCUCUGUUGUAUAAUUAAUACUCCCUCCGUCCGGAAAUACUUGUCCUAGAAAUGGAUAUAUCUAGACUUAUUUUAGUUCUAAAUGGCUGCCCGCGGAUCCCUUUGUCUUCCUCAUGUCCGCCAGACACUUGCGGGGUCGACGAAGGUCCUCGGAAGAGACGAAGCAGCAAAGAAACCACCUGAAUCCGCGGUCGUCGCCUCGGCAGUGGCCUUCAUGGGUCCCAAGUGGCGGCGGCCUCCCGUGUUCUACUUCUCCUCGAUGAUGGCGGCGGACACGGAGAAGCUGGCCACCGACUCGUCGCUCUCCACGCACUCGGCUUCUGUCUCUGCCUGCAUGGCCCUGCCGCAGGCACGGGAGGCGCGACCACCGCAGACACUGGUGGCGCGGUAUGCCGCGGUAGCGACGGCGCCCGUACCGGCUUGCUCGCCGCCGUGCCGGCAUGGAGCAACUCGCCACUCCUCAUCGAGCUGAACUGGAGCGGUGAGUUGCUAAACCACGCGCCUGCUUGGGGCUGCAACUGGCUCCGUCGGGCCAAGCAAGGUUGGUGAAGCACCGAGCGUCCUCGCCCGUAUUCGGAGGGCUCGGCGGGCCACCCAGCUGGGUAAUAUGCCGGAGAACGGCUCAUCGGAAGCCAUCAGAAGAGUGGAGAAAAUGGUGAAGGAGGAGAUGGGGGAGCGGCGGAGGGGUGCAAUUCUUGCCCGCUGUCUGUCUGGCCUCGUGUAAAUAGAGGGCGGACGGCAGGUGCUUGGCCGACGUCUGGCCUCGUUUAAACUGAGGGCGGACAGGAGGAGCUCGGCCGGUGUUGCAUUUAAUUACGGCCCGCUCAUGAACAGACGUGUGGCCGGAGUAGGAUUCUCGGUUUGCAUGCGGGUUUAACAGAGGGGUUUAAUGGAGGCGUCGGGCGUGCAACGGGCGGUACAGUACUAUUCGAUUUGACAACAGUAAUGAGCCGUCAAAUCACAAAGGCCCUCGUCUCUUGCGAAACCGACCGAGCUAGACUGCCCCGCCCUCUAGCCUUUUAAAAAAUGUAUAUACUCCACUUUUGCACAGUAGUAUCGAUGGAUUGCGCCAUGGAGCAAAACUUGAAAUUAAAAAAAGGUGGUACAUAUAGAGAGCGCUCGUGAACUAUGUGUCAUACAUGGCAAUAAAUAAAGUACUACAUGAUACUAAUAUAUGAUACAUGGCGCAGGAGUACUAAGUAUUAUUAAUACAGUUUUGCUAGAACUCAUCUAGAUGAGAUAUAAUUUGGUCUCAUUCAUCUUUUAUAGCCAUUGGAUGUGAUGCUAUAAGAUGCGUGUGUGCUGACGUGGGUUGUAUUUGUUCUUGUGCAACGAACUGACCACUUCAUGUCAUGUUUGAUAGUCUCAAGUCAUUAAAAGCAUACAAGCCCCACAUCUCUUCUUGGUUGAUUCCUCUAUUUAUGUCAAAAAAUAAGAAAUAACGUGAGAGUUAAUGCACCACGCCUAUGUGUUUACUAUUUGGUUUUCGUAAGAUGACUUAAUACUGACCUAGACGGAGGGAGUAUUCGAUUUGACAGAGGGCGGUGCAGUUCCCAAUAUUGCUUUAAUGCACACGAGGGAGGGAGUAGCGGUCCCGAUAUGUUGAACGGCCAAUGCAUCCUCCUUCAAUUAAUGCAUGAGGGAAGUAAUGGGAGGAGGUCCGGGAAAAGAGGCUGCACGAUGUGAAUGCAACGCAGUUUGCCCUCAUUUCCCUCAUAUAAAGGUGCCCCUCCAUUCCAAUGCAUCUACCACAUCGUACGCACCUAAGCAUUUGCCUAAGCACCUACACUAAGCGCAAAAGAGCUCACUCCAGACCCAUGGCGGCGAUGCGCAUGAGCGGUCAGUGGGUGCACCAGAUGGUCCAGGACGCCGGCCCGCGGCAUGGCGCCGAGGAUCGUCUCCAGACGGUGUUGGAGACCGGCUGGUGGAUGGCCGCCGUCGACGCCAACUACGACUCUCAGUUGGACCAGAUGAUCGUUGCCACCGGCAACAAGUUCACCGUCCUCAAGAAGCUCGCGGACGACAUCACCAUACUCCUCCAGACCGCGCGCCCGGGCUCCUCAUUGCCUGCCACCCUAAUCGGCCUCCAUGGCCGGAACCUCUUUCAAGCACUGGUGGCCCUGGGACUGCCCGCCGAUGCCACGAAGAAUGUCCACCUGGAGGUCACGCUCGCCGCGAGGUGCCUCGCCCUGCAAGAAUUCGUCGACCUACACAUCCACGUGUACGAGCAAAUCGUUCUACAAGGCCGGUGAGCAUGCUACAACGUUGGCCUUCCUCAACCGGCUGGAAGCCUUGGAUGCCUUUGCUGAGAAGCACCUCGACCCUGCCACAAAAGCCGUCGCUCCUUAGCGGCCGGUCGGUGGCCCGACGCACUAAGUUGAGGAGGAGGAGGUCGUACGUUCGUGGAUCCAUCUUUCUUCUUGCCUUUUGUAACCACCACUGUGAUUGCAUCAUCAUGGCCUUAAUUCUUAUUGUGCUGUUGCAUUCUCGUUCCAGUCAAUACCGACAUGUGUGAUCCCUUUGCUUAAUUAUAUGCAUCACUGUAACUAGUACUCCAUCCGUCAAUUUAUAAGUUGUGCUUACCUUUUCCAUCAACUUCGUGAAGCGCGCGGUCAUCUUGCUAGAAACACUAGAAUAUGUCUAUAUAAUCCGUAUGUGAUAGUCCAUUUGAAAUCUCAAAAAAGACAAAUAUUUAGGUACGGAGGGAGUAAUAUAUUACUCCCUCCGUUCGGAAUUACUUGUCUCGGAAAUGGAUGUAUCUAGAACUAAAAUACGUCUAAAUACAUCCGUUUCCGAGACAAGUAAUUCCGAACGGAGGGAGUAGGAGUAUAUCAAAACAAUAGUGAUUUCUUUCAAGUUUGUGAACAAAUACUACUAUUCUAUGACUUUGGAUCCGUCACAACGCACGGGCACAUUGCUAGUAAAAGGAAAAGGCCUGUCGCGUUCGCGUCGCACCCCCACAUGCCCGGGAAUCGCGAGUACAACACGGCCCGUCCCGCACGACACAUAGCUUAGGGAAGGCGUGUUUCCUGGAAUUUUCACUUUCAUGUGGGACCACCGUUGAGCAAACCGACACCCCGCCCGCCGCCGGGUUGGAAAACAGAAACAAGGGGAAGAUCUAGCUGUAGCACGGAAGCCAAGAAAUUUUGUGUCAAACGGGGCUCGUUGAUAGAGUAGGAGCAUUCCGUACUAGUACUACUCCUACUAGUACCAAGUUUGUACUCCUAAUACUAUAUUACUAGUACUACCACUAUACAACUAGUAGGUACGUGCACGGCACAACAUCGUAGGAACAAAAAACGGGAAGAUCUUGUUUUGGGUGAUUUAUCUUUUUUUCAAUCAACGUAGUAUGAAUAAUAUGAUGUGGGGGGCACCCAUGAAGCUUAUGUGGCUUGGUUGCAUGGCUACGGAAGGUUAGAGAAAAAUAAAUAGAUAAUAUGUUUAGAGUGCACUCCACUAAAUAGAUAUACUUUGGAUCCAUUGCAACGGACCGGCACAUCUAUAUCUAUACCCCCCUAUAUAGUGUGUGAAAAACUUUGAAAGUUGGUCGUUGGAUGAAGCCAAUCCGACGGUACAAAGAUGGCAAAUCCGAGCACUACUGGCCGUUGGAUAUCAUCCACCAGAUUCUACCACAUGUAUAAUCUAGAAGACUCCAUGGUUGAACUUAAUUCAUGACUAACAUUGCCACAACUAAGCUUAGGCAAAGUUAUUAGUUCUUCAAAAUGAGAGCCACAAGUUGGCAAGCCUAAGGGAAUCUUGCCAUGUUUUUUGUGUGCAUGUCAUCUGGGGCCUUAGUGUGGCUUGCCUAAGGUGUGUCUUGAACCAAACACUCACCUAAUUUAAUCAAACUUGCCUAACCUUACAUUCCACCAGUUUUUUCCACAUGUUAGAAUCCAGAAAACUCCACAUGUAGAAGCAUAAUGCACAAACCACCAGAAUCUCAUGCGUGCAAUGCACGUGUACCUUACUAGUACUAGUU